UUUUUUUUCGUUUUUGAGAUUUUUUCCCCUGGUUUUUUUGUCAAAUGUUAAUGUAUAGAUGGGUCGGUCCACCGUCGCUGGCACAUGGGCGCCAUGGAGCUUCCCUGGCGCCUGAAGCGCCAAAUAGGAGCUCCCGCCUAUUGGGACAAGGAUGAGGAGCACACGAGUGCGCAGCUCGUUGAAAUCAUUACGAGUCACUUUUUGGUUCGGAAUCCUUUGCACAGUUACUUGAGUGAUUUUCACAUUCAUGAUACAUCGGUCGUAUGUAUAUAUGUACAGUCCCAACCUGUCCAUACAUAUCUACGGAGUAAUACGAAUUGCAAUGGAGACAUGACAUUGAUGGGUAGGACGUGGCAAAUAAAGUCUCACAGACAGAAGCAAAAAAUUCCACAAAGCAUUGAAUGACCUUACCGUUGGUGUGCAUGUCCAUCGUGUAAAUAAUGGAUUAACCUAUAAAAGCACGGUGGUAACAGUGAAAACUGACUAUAAUAGAACCGAUUCUUCCACGGUGCAUUGAAUAUGUUACAUGUUUGUGUGUUGUAUGCAUGUCUGAUGUGUAAAGAAAUUGGAUAAAUCAGUAGAAACUGUUAAGCUAAAUAUUUGUUUCAUUGGCCUAAAUGAUAAUAAUCUCUACUAUCUAAAAGAACCGUAAGGUUCCGUUUCCCCCCUUACGUCGUCGAACCUUCUCCCCUUCGUCCGCCUCUCCCUGCUCCCGAUUUGAUUUUUUCAGCUUCCCAUCUUUUUUUCUAAAAAACAUUAAUUAGGCUUUAAUUUCUCUCCAUAAUCUCCUCCGUAAUUUGCGCCUCGUCCCGUACCAUCGACUCGCCCACGCAACCUCUCAACUCAUCUGACUUGCCUCUCCUCCGCCAUGCCGCCUCCCCACGCCGGCUGCCUCCCCCUGCAGGGCCGAUCCCUGGCGGCCUUCCUCUGAUAUGUCGCCUCCCCAACGGCGACCGCCAACGGCCUACGCUGCGGCUCGGGCGCCUCCCACCAUGCCCCUCCUCUCCAAUCACAGGUGCCAUCCCGCGAUCGAAAGUUUCCCCCGCCGUCGGCUCCGGACGAAGCCGCCGCCAUGGGUGGGGAUCUCCUUCUAUAUGAUCCUGCUAUCUCGACAGUUUGGAUCCACUCAUGGAUUUUUACAUGCCCGUCUUUCAUGGAUUCGUGGUCGCAGGCACGAGCUGUGCAAGACGAACCAAUUGAACAUGACGAAGUUUCUGUAGCGGCUGGUUCGUGCGCUGUCUCGGCUUCCGGGUAAAGCCGGUUUGGUUUCCCUCUCAAGUUUCAAGUCACACCCUCCCUCGUGUUCUUGGUACGAUUCCAUGGAUGGUCACAUUACAUGUGUUUGUGUGUGAUUUCUGCCUCGUAUCUAAUCUUUCUUUGUAGUAAUGAUAGGAUCAGAAGACCCACUCUUUUUUCUGUACAGUAAGCAACCACCAUAUUUAUUUUACAAUGUGCCGCAGGAAAUCAGAACCCAACCGCUUUUGCUUUGCUACUAUUAAUUUUUGGUGUCCAAGGAAAAUAUGGUGACAACAAAUAUUUGUCUUGGAUCCACCCCUGCUAUUAAUGUCUCCUAUCUUGUACAACAAAUAUUUGAAAACAUUGCCAUAUUCUGUGGUGAAUGCAGAGAUAGAAGCCUCUGCAUUGACAUCUUAAUUGCAACAAAUAUUUCAAAGCUGGGGAUGUAUGGCAAAUAUUAGUUGCAUGGUAAGCCUCUGCAUUUGAAGUAGCUGCUAUUUGUUGGCAACUUUUCCUGUACAGGAAGCCUAUGCAUAAGCUUAUACUUCCCUCCAUGUUGCUCUCUCAUAUAUAUGGUUUUGUGAAUUACUUGCUUCUCUGUGCAUAAGAAAUUACAUUUUACAUAAAUCAAACAAAAAGAGCCACAUCUCAUAGCAUCAUCUCCAUUUGGGAUUCUAAAAUGGGCAUUGAUGGUCAAGAAACAAUUUUCAGAAAGUAGCAAUUUGAUCAAGAGACACAUAUUCUAGAAGUUUAGGUGCUAACCUUUUCUUAACUUGUUCCCAUAUGCAGUCUAAAGUUUAUCAACCAGGUGGUGAUGAUUGCAGAAUUCCAGUCCUUGAGUGUGUCUACAAGUGGAUUCAGGUACCGUUCCAAGUUUUUCUUCUAAAAUUACACAUCUUAUGGUGCCCAUCCCACUUCAGUAGUUGAGCUUCAUGAUGUUAGAUUGUUCUUUGUAGGCUUUAGCCUGUUAUACUCGGUCUUCAAACUGAACGACAAUGCACUGUUAAUGUAAUAGAGUUGUCACCUUCAUGUAGGAUGCUCCUCUUCCUUCAUUGACUGCUUAAUGUAUCUUAUCAGGUCCUGGAAAGAUUGGGAGUGAUCUUAGUGCCAGAAGGUAACAAUCUUAGGGGUGCAGGGUGGACCAGUGGAGCAGGUUGUAAACAGUAAGCCCCUUCCAGUGAAAUUGAUAGCUUCGUGGCCAGUAUGUUUUUCUUGUGAUGGUAGGACUGAUUGCUCUACCUACACAUACCAUUUUUUGAUACAAUAUUAGAGCUUAUUCCAUCUACCUUGUUCUCUAUUUCCAGAAGGGUGUAUGAUGCGGUGUUUCCUUCAUAUGAUAUCAUUUGUAGUUUGCACAAACUUAACUUGCAUUAACGUAUUCUUAAAUUUUUAUUAUGUGUACCUGAUGUCUUCUGCACAUUUUGAUUAUUUGAUUUUGAGAGAUUCUCAAGGUUAGUAUAGCCAUUACUGAUGCAGUGAUGUGGACUUUGUAGCCUCUUUGGAUAUGCUCGGCAAGUCGCCCGGGUCGUGCGACAUUGUGGCACAUGUGCGAGUAGGGGCUGCUACUUAUUUCAGUUGCUUGUACAGAUUUGAGGCAACCCAGUUUUACUUUUUUUAUACUGGCUACUGUAUACAGAAUCAAUGUUGCAUUAUGGACGUUUUGUUCCAUUAUUGAUUUCAAACGAGUAUUUUGAUGCUAAUACACACUCAUCCCCCUGGUUGUCACCAUUGUAGCUGUAUAGAUGGUCUAACUAAUGUUUUUGGUUCCUAUUUACAAGUGAUGUUUGGUAUGAACAGUGGCGGAGCGUGAUGAGCAACUAGGGGGUGGCAAUUUUCAAACUAAAAGAGAAAUAUGCAUGAAAAGUCAAAAACAGGCAAGUCUCGCAACAUAAAAUUAAAAAGAUAAUAAUUGUUACCUAAAACGAUAAUUCAAUAACUACUGUUGCUUCUCAGUUUCAAGUUUCUUUAAUUGAUAUAACCAUAAUGUGGUUGAUUGGUUUAACAUCUGAUGGUAUGAAUCAUGUUUCUUUAGUUACUUUAUAUAUCAAGUUAACCCUUUUUGCAAAAAAAACUCAUAUACAACUGGUUAACUCCCAUGGGCCAGCAGUCAGAACAUGUGAAUCAAGUUUCCAUGGCAAUCAAAAUUCACAUGUACCUUGCUCAUGUCCUUCGGCAAGAAUAUGGACAAUGUUGCUUUACGUGCAAGAACAUCUGAAAAGUACAUGUGCUAUGAUUGAUAUUGCCCUGUGGUCGCGUUGUCCCCGUGGAUUACCGAGGGCAAGCCUAGGUGCGCCCAGCCCCUCUCCCCUGCCGCCGGGCAAAGCCUGGCCGACAUAGGUGGUGGUGGGGCUCUGUUUCCUCUCUGCCCGAGGCGGGCUGGCACGGGACAGCUAAACGGGCGGGGGUGGAGGGCUGUUGCGGGGCUUCAUGGUGAAUUGCGCUCCGUGGAGGUCUGUGUCGACUUCAAGCAGUCUUCGUAGAUAGCUUGGUUGUUGUUGGGGUGAUGUGUCGGUGCCCGGCGCCUCUGUAUCUUGCCUUGGAUGGGUGUGUUAUGUGCGGUGGUGUGUGUUUGUAUCGGUUCGCUCGGAUGUAAUGGAAUGUUGGUUGCUUUAAAUAUAAAGCGGGGGAAACCCUUUUUCUUCAUAUUGCCCCGUGGCAACGCACGGGCAAGUAACUAUCUAUUACAAAUUCGUUUACACGCGGGAUAGUGGCGAUUGGUGCAACCAAACUUUAUACUGGUAAGGGCAUCUUCAACGCCGACCCGGCACCCGCAAACCGAUCGUAACUAUCUGGAUCAUGCUGCCUGGACCGUGGAAGCCAUCUGACGCAGUUCUGUAUCGGUCCGUGACACGGUCUGGACAUAUUUUCUUCCGCAAACCCGCUUCUGAUCACACUGACCCGCCAAACCCCCUCCUCUCUCGCUGGCGCGCGUUCCCUUCCGGCACCAGCUGCCUGCAUUCAUGCCGCUGUAGAGUGUGCUGCUCCACAUUGACGUCGGGACAGAGCGAACGCGACCUCUCACCGCCUCCACCAUCGAAGCGGCGCGUCGGCCAAGGGCGUCGUCCGCGAUGCAUCUCCGAUGUCCGUGCCUAUUCAAUGCCGGAUACGCGUUACCGUACGGGACAUGAUGGAUAUCUACCAUGCUCGUUGAAUGCCCUGUUCAUCUGUAUGCCGCCAUUAAGCAGGCUUGUUGGCCGAGAAACCUACUCCAGCGUCGUGUAGUGACGCACCCGGACGCCUGGCCUCACCGAAAAUUGCUAUUUAAAGGCGUCCACACCCAGCUAACUCAACGCCAAAACACAAGCCGCUCCUGAUCCUCCUCCAUUGCUCUGCAUCUGCCAUGACUGCAAGCGGCGAAGUUUUGUGGAAGAGCCUUUCCACAGAGAUGAAGCACGAUGUGGUCGCCCCUUGCCGCCACCUGGUAGAGCCGCCAUGCCAGGCGGAUCGAGCCCGGAUUGCCGGCCAACUCGCCCGAGGUCUCGGACGACGAGGAGGACCCCAUGAUGGAGAUGGGCUCCGACGACACCGUCCUGGCUCUCGUGCUUGUGCAUGUUGGCUUCACAAAGCAUUGAUGGGUAGGACGUGGCAAAUAAAGUCUCACAGACAGAAGCAAAAAAAAUUCACAAAGCAUUGAAUGACCUUAACGUUUGUGUGCAUGUCCACCGUGUAAAUAAAGGAUUGACCUACAAAAACACGGUGGUAACAGUGAAAACUAACUAUAAUAGAACCGAUUCUUCCACAGGGCAUUGAAUAUGUUACAUGUUUGUGUGUUGUGUGCAUUUCUGAUGUGUAAAGAAACUAGAUAAAUCAGUAGAAACUGUUAAAAUAAAUAUUUGUUCCAUUGACCUGAAUGAUACUAAUCUAUUACAAAUUCGUUUACACACGGGAUAAUGGUGAUUGGCGCAACCAAACUUUAGGGUGCUAACAGCUGGAUUAGACAAAUAAUCUUCAUCUGGAUAAUAUUACUAUAAUAUUACGUAACUACGACUAAGGAUCGCGUUUAGGUUGAUUCUCCACAACUAAACCGACGGGUCGAUGAGGCGGUCCGCUAACUACGUGAUCUGAACAUCGGAGGACCCAGCUGCAAAGGAAGACUAGAACUAGGAAAUUAACUAGGGCGAGGCGGUGUAGGCUCCUAAGAUAUAUUCCACCGUCACAAAUUGGAUGGAUGAACACACGUGGCCACUUCUAGAAGUUGGAAUUGUGGGCACAUAACAAACAAUGAGGGUCUGAGUGUGUGGGGACCCCGACUCAUAAGUCGUAAUCAUCGAAUGCACGUGUACAGUGAUCCCAGAGAUCAAUGCUUACUGAACACAUAGAAACUGAAUAACAAGAGUCUUACAUCCAUACAUACUGUCUUACAUAAAUUAUGACCGUUAUGGUCGAGUCUUGAGUAUAACUUCGCAGCGGAAAUCUUCGUCGAUAACUUGGACCCAUGCCAUCUGCCUUAACCCUACAGGCAUUCUGACUGGGAAGUGUCCUAGCUCGCAUGUUUGUCACCGAAGUAUUCUUCAUCAUAUCCUGUUCUUUCAUGCCUGGCCAAUAAAAUAAACAGUGGCAAGCCAAUGAGUACUUUGAAUGUACUCGCAAGCAACCCAUGUUUUGGCUCAAGAUACAACAAUGCAUGACAUAGGUAAAUUUUUUGCAGAAAGCUAAUUUUGUUGUGUUAUGACAUGUUCAACAACUGGUAAAACAUGCAUCAUAUGAAUUCAAGUAACCUUAGGAACCGGUUACAGAUAUCAACAUAAAGGGAGUGGGCUCCAACCCAACUCAUCCAUGUCAAGUCCUUUGACUUGACCCAAGUAGUUCUUCCCACACACACUGGUUUGUAAACAAGUGGACGUAGCCCAAGAGCGGUUACCCAACUGUCCUUGACCGUGGACACGGCUAUUCGAAUAGUUUUACACUCUGCAGAGGUUGCAUACUUUACCCACAAGAUCCGGGGAACUUCCGUAUCAUCCACGACCCGCGGUACCUCAAGUACCCGGGGUAAGCACCCGAUCACUAUCUUUCCCUAGACGAUACUAAUAUAGAGUCCACUCGAUUAGUAGUAACCCCCCGUGCCCAACAUUUCACAUCUUAAAAUUAUGGAGCCUGGCUCCCAUAUUCAUCACAUACCACAAGCACGAGGUACCAACGGUGUGUCCGGUGCCCUGUGAAAACAGUCAUGGCCGCCCUACCUGGCACGACCCCGUCCCGAGAGAGCGCAACAACAACUCUCCCAUCACUAGUAAUGCAGGCUCCAAGCUAGUAUUGACCUAGGUAAUCAAUAAUGCCAUUUCCCAUAUAAGGGUAGAGUGGUUGCGCAUGUAAGGUUGGAAUAACGGUCGCAACUUAAACCAAUCCGUUUUGAAAACAACACACACACUUGCCUCAGUACACCACUUCGUCAUCAAGUGGUUACCCAACUCAUUAUCUCCUUCGGGCAUAAGUGGCACCCGACAGGGUUUUCGAAAACUCUUUCGAAAACAAUCUUGCUCCCAUCACCAUGCAUAUUCCUGUCCCUUUUUGCGUAGCGACUACUUUAGCAUCCUAUCUGUUGGGGAACAUAGUAAUUUCAAAAUUUCCUACGCACACGCAAGAUCAUGGUGAUGCAUAGCAACGAGAGGGGAGAGUGUUGUCUACGUACCCUCGUCGACUAUUCGCUGAAGCGUUAUAUCAACGCGGUUGAUGUAGUUGUACGUCUUCAUGAUCCGACCGAUCCAAGUACCGAAAGCACGGCACCUCCGAGUUCUGCACACGUUUGGCUCGGUGACGUCCUCGCCUUCUCGAUCCAGCAAGAAGGGCGCAGUAGUAGAUGAGUUCCAGCAGCACGACGGCGUGGUGACGGUGUUGGUGAAGAACAAUCUCCGCAGGGCUUCGCCUAAGCACUACGAAAACUAGGACGGAGGAUAAACUAGAGGGGACGGGGUUGCCGGCACACGGCUUGGUGUUUCUUGAUGUGUCUUGGGUGCUAGCCCUACCCCUCUAUUUAUAUGUUGAGCCUUGGGGUCAAAACUUGGAGUAAAAGCCUCCACAAAGUCGGUUUCACCCGAAAGGCAAGAGUCCUUCUCGGACUCCAGGGCCAGACGCCAGGGUUCCCGGCGUCUGGCCCCUGGACUCCGCAAAACUUCCUUUUGCGCUUUCCAAAAACCUUGUGGGCUUUCCCCUUUGGCCCAAAUAAAGUGUUCUUGUACCCAAACAUUUCGGGAAACAUUUGGAACCCCUUCUAGUGAAUUCCGGUACCCUUCUGGUGACCAAACACUAUUAUCCCAUAUAUCAAACUUUAUCUCCGAACCAUUUCGGAGUUCCUCGUCAUGUCCGUGAUCUCAUCCCGGACUCCGAACAACAUUCGGUCACCAACAUACAUAACUCAUAUAGUACUAUAUCGUCAACGAACGUUAAGCGUGCGGACCCUACGGGUUCGAGAACUAUGUCAUGACCGAGACACCUCUCUGGUCAUUAACCAAUAGCGGGACCUGGAUUCCCAUAUUGGCUCCUACAUAUUCUACGAAGAUCUUUAUCGGUCAGACCGCAUAACAACAUACGUUGUUCCCUUUGUCAUCGGUAUGUUACUUGCCCGAGAUUCGAUCGUCCGUAUCUCAAUACCUAGUUCAAUCUCUUUACCGGCAAGUCUCUUUACUCGUUUCGUAAUACAUCAUCCCACAACUAACUCAUUAGUUGCAAUGCUCGCAAGGCUUAUAGUGAUGUGCAUUACCGAGUGGGCCCAGAGAUACCUCUCCGACAAUCGGAGUGACAAAUCCUAAUCUCGAAAUACGCCAACCCAACAAGUACCUUUGGAGACACCUGUAGAUCACCUUUAUAAUCACCCAGUUACGUUGUGGCGUUUGGUGGCACACAAAGUGUUCCUCCGAUAAACGGGAGUUGCAUAAUCUCAUAGUCAUAGGAACAUGUAUAAGUCAUGAAGAAAGCAAUAGCAACAAACUAAACGAUCAAGUGCUAAGCUAACGGAAUGGGUCAAGUCAAUCACAUCAUUCUCCUAAUGAUGUGAUCCCGUUAAUCAAAUAACAACUCAUGUCUAUGGUUAGGAAACUUAACCAUCUUUGAUCAACGAGCUAGUCAAGUAGAGGCAUACUAGUGACACUCUGUUUGUCUAUGUAUUCACACAUGUAUUAUGUUUUCGGUUAAUUCAAUUCUAGCAUGAAUAAUAAACAUUUAUCAUGAAAUAAGGAAAUAAAUAAUAACUUUAUUAUUGCCUCUAGGGCAUAUUUCGUUCAGUCUCCCACUUGCACUAGAGUCAAUAAUCUAGAUUACACAGUAAUGAUUCUAACACCCAUGGAGCCUUGGUGCUGAUCAUGUUUUGCUCAUGGAAGAGGCUUAGUCAACGGGUCUGCAACAUUCAGAUCCGUAUGUAUCUUGCAAAUUUCUAUGUCUCCCCACCUGGACUAAAUCCCGGAUGGAAUUGAAGCGUCUCUUGAUGUGCUUGGUUCUCUUGUGAAAUCUAGAUUCCUUCGCCAAGGCAAUUGCACCAGUAUUGUCACAAAAGAUUCUCAUUGAACCCGAUGCACUAGGUAUGACACCUAGAUCGGAUAUGAACUCCUUCAUCCAGACUCCUUCAUUUGCUGCUUCUGAAGUAGCUAUGUACUCCGCUUCACACGUAGAUCCCGCCACGACGCUUUGUUUAGAACUGCACCAACUGAUAGCUCCACCGUUUAAUAUAAACACGUAUCCGGUUUGCGAUUUAGAAUCGUCCGGAUCAGUGUCAAAGCUUGCGUCAACGUAACCAUUUACGAUGAGCUCUUUGUCACCUCCAUAAACGAGAAACAUAUCCUUAGUCCUUUUCAGUUAUUUCAGGAUGGUCUUGACCGUUGUCCAGUGAUCCACUCCUGGAUUACUUUGGUACCUCCCUGCUAGACUUAUAGCAAGGCACACAUCAGGUCCGGUACACAGCAUUGCAUACAUGAUAGAGCCUAUGGCUGAAGCAUAGGGAACAUCUUUCAUCUUCUCUCUAUCUUCUGUAGUGGUCGGGCAUUGAGUCUUACUCAACUUCACACCUUGUAACAUGGGCAAGAACCCUUUCUUUGCUUGAUCCAUUUUGAACUUUUUCAAAACUUUGUCAAGGUAUGUGCUUUGUGAAAGUCCAAUUAAGCGUCUUGAUCUAUCUCUAUAGAUCUUGAUGCCCAAUAUGUAAGCAGCUUCACCGAGGUCUUUCAUAGAAAACUUUUAUUCAAGUAUCCCUUUAUGCUAUCCAGAAAUUAUAUAUCAUUUCCAAUCAGCAAUAUGCCAUCCACAUAUAAUAUCAGAAAUGCUACAGAGCUCCCACUCAGUUUCUUGUAAAUACAGGCUUCUCCAAAAGUCUGUAUAAAACCAAAUGCUUUGAUCACACUAUCAAAGUGUUUAUUCCAACUCCGAGAGGCUUGCACCAGUCCAUAAAUGGAUCGCUGGAGCGUGCACACUUUGUUAGCUCCCUUUGGAUCGACAAAACCUUCUGGUUGCAUCAUAUACAACUCUUCUUCCAGAAAUCCAUUCAGGAAUGCACUUUUGACAUCCAUUUGCCAAAUUUCAUAAUCAUAAAAUGCGGCAAUUGCUAACAUGAUUCGGACAGAAUUAAGCAUCGCUACGGGUGAGAAGGUCUCAUCGUAGUCAAUCCCUUGAACUUGUCGAAAACCUUUUGCAACAAGUCGAGAUUUAUACACAGUAACAUUACCGUUAGCGUCAGUCUUCUUCUUGAAGAUCCAUUUAUUCUCAAUUGCGUGCCGAUCAACGGGCAAGUCAACCAAAGUCCACACUUUGUUCCCAUACAUGGAUCCCAUCUCAGAUUUCAUGGCCUCAAGCCAUUUUGCGGAAUCUGGGCUCACCAUCGCUUCUUCAUAGUUCGUAGGUUCAUCAUGGUCUAGUAACAUAACUUCCAGAAUAGGAUUACCGUACCACUCUAGUGCAGAUUUUACUCUGGUUAACCUACGAGGUUCAGUAACAACUUGAUCUAAAGUUUCAUGAUCAUCAUCAUUAACUUCCUCACUAAUUGGUGUAGGUGUCGUAGAAACCGUUUUCUGUGAUGAACUACUUUCCAAUAAGGGAGCAGGUACAGUUACCUCAUCAAGUUCUACUUUCCUCCCACUCACUUCUUUCGAGAGAAACUCCUUCUCUAGAAAAACUCUGAAUUUAGCAACAAAAGUCUUGCCUUCAGAUCUGUGAUAGAAGGUGUACCCAACAGUCUCCUUUGGGUAUCCUAUGAAGACACAUUUCUCCGAUUUGGGUUCGAUCUUAUCAGGUUGAAGCUUUUUCACAUAAGCAUCGCAGCCCCAAACUUUCAGAAACGACAACUUUGGUUUCUUACCAAACCAUAGUUCAUAAGGCGGUGUCUCAACGGAUUUCGAUGGUGCCCUAUUUAAGGUGAAUGCGGCCGUCUCUAAAGCAUAUCCCCAAAACAAUAGCGGUAAUUCAGUAAGAGACAUCAUAGAUCGCACCAUAUCUAAUAAAGUACGAUUACGAAGUUCGUACACACCAUUACGCUGUGGUGUUCCGAGUGGCGUGAGUUGCGAAACUAUUCCGCAUUGUUUUAAAUGAAGACCAAACUCAUAACUCAAAUAUUCUCCUCCAUGAUCAGAUCGUAGAUACUUUAUUUUCUUGUGACGAUGAUUUUCAACUUCACUCUGAAAUUCUUUGAACUUUUCAAAUGUUUCAGACUUAUGUUUCAUUAAGUAGAUAUACCCAUAUCUGCUUAAGUCAUCUGUGAAGGUGAGAAAAUAACGAUAUCCGCCACGAGCCUCAACAUUCAUUGGACCACAUACAUCUGUAUGUAUGAUCUCCAACAAAUCUGUUGCUCUUUCCAUAGUUCCGGAGAACGACGUUUUAGUCAUCUUGCCCAUGAGGCACAGUUCGCAAGUACCAAGUGAUUCAUAAUCAAGUGGUUCCAAAAGUCCAUCAGUAUGGAGUUUCUUCAUGCGCUUUACUCCGAUAUGACCUAAACGGCAGUGCCACAAAUAAGUUGCACUAUCAUUAUCAACUCUGCAUCUUUUGGCUUCAAUAUUAUGAAUAUGUGUAUCACCACUAUCGAGAUUUAGCAAAAAUAGACCACUCUUCAAGGAUGCAUGACCAUAAAAGAUAUUACUCAUAUAAAUAGAACAACCGUUAUUCUCUGAUUUAAAUGAAUAAUCGUCUCGCAUCAAACAAGAUCCAGAUAUAAUGUUCAUGCUCAACGCUAGCACCAAAUAACAAUUAUUUAGGUCUAAUACUAAUCCCGAAGGUAGAUGUAGAGGUAGCGUGCCGACCGCAAUCACAUCGACUUUGGAACCAUUUCCCACGCGCAUCGUCACCUCGUCCUUAGCCAAUCUUCGCUUAAUCUGUAGCCCCUGUUUCGAGUUGCAAAUGUUAGCAACAGAACCAAUAUCAAAUACCCAGGUGCUACUGUGAGCAUUAGUAAGGUACACAUCAAUAACAUCUAUAUCACAUAUACCUUUGUUCACUUUGUCAUCCUUCUUAUCUGCCAAAUACAUGGGGCAGUUCCGCUUCCAGUGACCAGUCUGCUUGCAGUAGAAGCACUCAGUCUCAGGCUUAGGUCCAGACUUGGGUUUCUUCUCCUGAGCAGCAACUUGUUUGUUGUUCUUCUUGAAGUUCCCCUUCUUCUUCCCUUUGCCCUUUUUCUUGAAAUGGGUGGUCUUAUUGACCAUCAACACUUGAUGCUCCUUCUUGAUUUCUACCUCUGCGGCCUUUAGCAUCGCGAAGAGCUCGAGAAUAGUCUUAUUCAUCCCUUGCAUAUUAUAGUUCAUUACGAAGCUUUUGUAGCUUGGUGGCAGUGAUUGAAGAACUCUGUCAAUGACACUAUCAACAGGAAGAUUAACUCCUAGUUGAGUCAAGUGAUUAUGAUACCCAGACAUUUUGAGUAUAUGUUCACUGACAGAACUAUUCUCCUCCAUCUUGCAGCUAUAGAACUUAUUGGAGACUUCAUAUCUCUCAAUCCGAGAAUUUGCUUGAAAUAUUAACUUCAACUCCUGGAACAUCUCAUAUGCUCCAUGACGUUCAAAACGUCGUUGAAGACCCGGUUCUAAGCCGUAAAGCAUGGCACACUAAACUAUCGAGUAGUCAUCAGCUUUGCUCUGCCAGACGUUCAUAACAUCUGGUGUUGCUCCUGCAGCAGGCUUGGCACUUAGCGGUGCUUCCAAGACGUAAUUCUUCUAUGCAGCAAUGAGGAUAAUCCUCAAGUUAUGGACCCAGUCCGUGUAAUUGCUACCAUCAUCUUUCAACUUUGCUUUCUUAAGGAACGCAUUAAAAUUCAACACAACAGCAUAGGCCAUCUAUCUACAAACAACAUAGACAAGCAAGAUACUAUCAGGUACUAAGUUCAUGAUAAAUUUAAGUUCAACUUAAUCAUAUUAUUUAAGAACUCCCACUUAGAUAGACAUCCCUCUAAUCCUCUAAGUGAUCACGUGAUCCAUAUCAACUAAACCAUGUCCGAUCAUCACGUGAGAUGGAGUAGUAUCAACGGUGAACAUCACUAUGUUGAUCAUAUCUACUAUAUGAUUCAUGCUCGACCUUUCGGUCUCCGUGUUCUGAGGCCAUAUCUUUUAUAUGCUAGGCUCGUCAAGUUUAACCUGAGUAUUCCGCGUGUGCAACUGUUUUGCACCCGUUGUAUUUGAACGUAGAGCCUAUCACACCCGAUCAUCACGUGGUGUCUCAGCACGAAGAACUUUCACAAUAGUGCAUACUCAGGGAGAACACUUAUACUUUGAUAAUUUAGUGAGGGAUCGUCUUAUAAUGCUACCAUCAAUCAAAGCAAGAUAAGACGCAUAAAAGAUAAACAUCACAUGCAAUCAAUAUAAGUGACAUGAUAUGGCCAUCAUCAUCUUGUGCUUGUGAUCUUCAUCUCCUAAGCACCUUCAUGAUCACCAUCGUCACCGGCGCGACACAUUGAUCUCCAUCGUAGCAUCGUUGUCGUCUCGCCAAUCUUAUGCUUCCACAACUAUCGCUACCGCUUAGUGAUAAAGUAAAGCAUUAUAGGGCGAUUGCAUUGCAGACAAUAAAGCAACAACCAUAUGGCUCCUGCCAGUUGCCGAUAACUCGGUUACAAAACAUGAUCAUCUCAUACAAUAAAAUUUAGCAUCAUGUCUUGACCAUAUCACAUCACAACAUGCCCUACAAAAACAAGUUAGACAUCCUCUACUUUGUUGUUGCAAAUUUUACGUGGCUGCUACGGGCUUAGCAAGAACCGUUCUUACCUACGCAUCAAAACCACAAUGAUAGUUUGUCAAGUUGGUGUUGUUUUAACUUCGCAAGGACCGGGCGUAGCCACACUCGGUUCAAUUAAAGUUUGGAGAAACUGACACCCGCCAGCCACCUAUGUGCAAAGCACGUCGGUAGAACCAGUCUCGCGCAAGCGUACGCGUAAUGUCGGUCUGGGCCGCUUCAUCCAACAAUACCGCCGAACCAAAGUAUGACAUGAUGGUAAGCAGUAUGACUUAUAUCGCCCACAACUCACUUGUGUUCUACUCGUGCAUAUGACAUCUACGCAUAAAACCUGGCUCGGAUGCCACUGUUGGGGAAUGUAGUAAUUUCAAAUUUUCCUACGCACACGCAAGAUCAUGGUGAUGCAUAGCAACGAGAGGGGAGAGUGUUUUCUACGUACCCUCGUAGACCGUCCGCGGAAGCAUUAUAUCAACGCGGUUGAUGUAGUCGUACAUCUUCACGAUCCGACCGAUCCAAGUACCGAAAGCACGGCACCUCCGAGUUCUGCACACGUUCGGCUCGGUGAUGUCCUCGCCUUCUCGAUCCAGCAAGAGGGGCAAAGUAGUAGAUGAGUUCCGGAAGCACGACGGCGUGGUGACGGUGUUGGUGAAGAACAAUCUCCGCAAGGCUUCGCCUAAGCACUACGAAAACUAGGACGGAGGAUAAACUAGAGGGGACGGGGUUGCCGGCACACGGCUUGGUGUUUCUUGAUGUGUCUUGGGUGCUAGCCCUACCCCUCUAUUUAUAUGUUGAGCCUUGGGCUCGAAACUUGGAGUAAAAGCCUCCACAAAGUCGGUUUCACCUGAAAGGCAAGAGUACUUCUCGGACUCCAGGGCCAGACGCCAGGGUUCCUGGCGUCUGGACCCAGACGCCAGGGACCCUGGCGUCUGGCCCCUGGACUCCGCAAAACUUCCUUUUGCGCUUUCCAAAAACCUUGUGGGCUUUCCCCUUUGGCCCAAAUAAAGUGUUCUCAUACCCAAACAUUUCAAGAAACAUCUGGAACCCAUUCCGGUGAAUUCCGGAACCCUUCCGGUGACCAAACACUACUAUCCCAUAUAUCAAACUUUAUCUCCGGACCAUUCCGGAGUUCCUCGUCAUGUCCGUGAUCUCAUCCCGGACUCCGAACAACAUUCGGUCACCAACAUACAUAACUCAUAUAGUACUAUAUCGUCAAUGAAUGUUAAGCGUGCGGACCCUACGGGUUCAAGAACUAUGUAGACAUGACCGAGACACCUCUCUGGUCAAUAACCAAUAGCAGGACCUGGAUGCCCAUAUUGGCUCCUACAUAUUCUACGAAGAUCUUUAUCGGUCAGACCGCAUAACAACAUACGUUCUUCCCUUUGUCAUCGGUAUGUUACUUGCCCGAGAUUCGAUCGUCGGUAUCUCAAUAGCUAGUUCAAUCUCGUUACCGGCAAGUCUCUUUACUCAUUCCGUAAUACAUCAUCCCGCAACUAACUCAUUAGUUGCAAUGCUUGCAAGGCUUAUAGUGAUGUGCAUUACCGAGUGGGCCCAGAGAUACCUCUCCGACAAUCGGAGUGACAAAUCCUAAUCUCGAAAUAUGCCAGCCCAACAAGUACCUUUGGAGACACCUGUAGAGCACCUUUAUAAUCACCCAGUUACGUUGUGACGUUUGGUGGCACACAAAGUGUUCCUCCGGUAAAUGGUAGUUGCAUAAUCUCAUAGUCAUAGAAACAUGAGUCAUGAAGAAAGCAAUAGCAACAAACUAAACGAUCAAGUGCUAAGCUAACGGAAUGGGUCAAGUCAAUCACAUCAUUCUCAUAAUGAUGUGAUCCCGUUAAUCAAAUGACAACUCAUGUCUAUGGUUAGGAAACUUAACCAUCUUUGAUCAACGAGCUAGUCAAGUAGAGGCAUACUAGUGACACUCUGUUUGUCUAUGUAUUCACACAUGUAUUAUGUUUCCGGCUAAUACAAUUCUAGCAUGAAUAAUAAACAUUUAUCAUGAAAUAAGGAAAUAAAUAAUAACUUUAUUAUUGCCUCUAGGGCAUAUUUCCUUCACUAUCUACUCCCACCGGCAUAACCCUCAUUGGAAGGUAGGGUCAUGCAUAAUGCAAGUAUCAACAAGGAAGUAAUAGAGGCAACCCAUCAAGGUGGUUACCACCUCAUCAUGAUUCCGUUGCAACAACAAUAUGGUGCUAUAUGACAUGCAUACAAAGGCUUUCUUAGACAUGGUCAAAGGGCUGCUUGCCUGGUUCAUCAGAGUCUUCAAGUCUUCUGGUUCAUCUUCGAGUAUUUCGUCUACUUCGUCAACUAAUGUCGGAAACAAUCAUAGUAAGCAACACAACAAGGCAGAAAAUAAAAUUGCUCCAAAAAUAUUAAUUUGACUUUUCAAGGACAUCUGUGGUUAUAUGAAAAAUAACCAGAGUGGUUUCAUUGGGAUUGGGUCAGUGGAUAUUCCUGAACAUUUCAAUUUGAUGGAAUCAAGGGAUUUGUGAAUUUGCAAGAAGUGUACAGAAUUAUUAUUUUGAAAAAUGAGCAAAGGCACCCAUUGAGCAAAGAAUGAUUUUAGAAGCAUCUAGGAUUUGGUUUCACUGGAUUUGGAGUCAAAAUGAUUUUCCUAUGAAUUUGCAAAGUUGACAAAUAUGAAGAAAUGGCUCAUUAUUUUGUGUGGUACAGAAAGUAUUAAGAAAAAUGUUCAUAAACUAAGUUAUGAACUUAGAAGCAUCUAGGAAUUUGAAUCAUGGCAUUUGGAUCAAUUUUGAGCUCUCUGUGAUUUUCUAAAGUUCAUCACAGAAAUAGGAAAAAUAGGGUUUUUCGAAAUAUGCGUGAAGAAAAGUUUCCUGGAAAAAUGUGCAAACAACACCAUGUGAUAGAUCAUGAAUUUAUGAACUACUAAAAAUUUGAAUCAUCAAAUUUGGAGCUCUAUUGAAUUAUUUAUGGAUUUUUGAAGUUGACUGGAAAAAGAAAAAGGAAAUAAGGCUUUAACCUUAUCCUGCGCACGGGGCGACAGAUAGACCGUGGAUCGGUGAAAGGACAUGCGGUGCCCCCAUGUGUGGUUUUGGUAAUUGAUGACAAUCUCUAUGGACUGCCUUGAGUUAUAUUUGCAGGAUUUGUCCAUAGGAUUGUCUUGAAGUCCAUGUGUUGGUUUCAAGGAGUUUAUGAGAUGGCCAAAGUGCUUUUCAAGGAAUUAUCCAAAGAUUAGUCAUGUGUGAGUUGAGAUGGCCAAAGUGCUUUUCAAGGAAUUAUCCAAAGAUUAGUCAUGUGUGAGUUGAGCUUAUUGCAAGCAUGUCUUGAAGAAGAAGAUUGUGUGAUCAUUCAUGUUUACCUUCAAGACAUCAUCCAAAUGAAGAGAGUUGGAAAGAUUCAAUGUUGAUCAAGACUAAAUCAAGAGUGAAUCAAGUUGAUCAACUCACAAAGCGUAGAAGAAGUACCGAGAGGGAUCAAGUGAUCCCAUGGUAUGGUAAGCAUUGUCCAUUAUGCUUUGUGUACUAACCCAUGGUCUACGUGAGAGUUCUUUGUGGGGUUAGGUAUGUUUCCAUGGUCUUGCAUCAAGAGGAAGAUCUCAUACAACCCAUGGAGGAUGACAUCAAGUGGUGAUCGUCAUCAAGUUUGCAGUGUGCAAGUUCAAGUGGAGCAACUCAAAGAGUGGCUCACCCAUAAUGGAGUAUGGGGGAGCAAUCAAGCUUGAAGCUUGCCGUCCAUUGUGGUGUCAAUGGAAUUGUGAAGAUGUGCCAAAGAGUGGCUCACCCAUAGUGGAGUAUGGGGGAGCAAUCAACUAGUCUUCGUCGAGCCAACACAAUCAAGAAAGGUGGUCCAAUUUGAGGAAGUCAAGAUCGUCAUCAUCUAGAUCAAGUGGACUAUGUUCAAGGCAAAGGUUUUCCCUUGAUAGGUUUUCUAUUUUACCGGUCUCAUAGUGGUAGUUGGGAGAUCGGGUUGUAGGAUCGAUUGUCGUACUAUCAAGGGGGGCUCUCUAGGGUGUAGCUUGAUCAUAUCAUUCGUCGAGAGCUCAAACCAUUGCAUCCUUGCAUCAUCUUUCUUGGUUCUUGUUUGGUUCCAUUUGUGAGUCUUAGAGCUUAUGGUCAUCUUGAUGACAAGCUUGAGUUCAUCGAAAACGGAGUUCGCAUGCAUCUUCCAUGAUGUUUUCGGUGUUGGAGGUUUUACCGGUCUUAUCCGAGGAAGGGUUCUCACCUUUUUCUUAUGGGCCUUUUAUUAUUUGCUUCUUAUUGUUUUUUCUAUCAAUAUUGCGUUAGCCCUUGUCGCUAACUUUCCAACAAACUUGAUUUCGUCGAAUUCGAAGCUCGUAUGCGAAAGUUGUGGCUGUUUUGAUAUUGCAUGUUUUACAGAGAGAGGUUGUACCGACCCAUGGAGAGGUUGUACCGCUUGACCGGUACAACCGGUGUUUGGAGCAGUUGUACCACUCCAGAAUUGGUCCGGAGGUUGUACCGGUCAUGUACCGCUCUACCACCGGACUGGUCUCUGUUGUGGUGCAGUUGUUGGGCGGUUGUGAGCCGGUUGUACCGGUUAUUGCCUGUUACCGGUUGUACCGGUGCUCCUAGAGGUUGUACCGCUCCUAUGUUAUUCUGUACAUAACGGGCAGAUUCAUGGGGACCUAUUUAAGGGGGUCUUCUUCCCCAAUGGUUCCCUAUCUCUUGAGCUCAUUUUUGCCCCCAUUGUUGACCUUCUUUGAGCUUGCUAACUCUCAAUCCCUCCAUGGAUUCUUGCUAGUUUUUGAGGGAAAAGAGAGAGGAGAUCUAGAUCCACAUUUCCACCAAUCACUUUCUCCUCUAUGUGAGGGGAACCCCUUGGAUCUAGAUCUUGGAGUUCUUGGUGUUCUCCUUCUUGUUCUUCCUCUCAUUUUCCUCCCCAGCAUUAGUUGCUUUGGUGGGAUUUGGGAGAGAAGGACUUGGGCACUUCGUGUUCCCUUGCCAUUGCAUUUGGUGCAUCGGUUUGAGUUCUCCACGGUGAUACGUGGAAGUGAAGUUUGAGAAGCUUAUUACUCUUGGGUGUUUGGGCACCCUAGAGCUUGUUCCUCUUGGGUGCCUUGGCGCCCUAGACGGUUGGUGUUGUUCGGAGCUCAAUCAUUAUGGUGUAAAGCUCCGGGUAAGCGUCGGGGUCUCCAAUUAGGUUGUGGAGAUCGCCUCAAGCAAUUUGACGGGUACCGGUGACCUCCCCCAAGGGUUGCCAAAGUGUACGGGUUCAGUGAACGCCCCCAAGGGUUGCCAUUUGUACGGGUUCAGUGACCGCCCUCAAGGGUCCCUUAGUGGAAUCACGACAUCUUGCAUUGUGCGAGGGCGUGAGGAGAUUACGGUGGCCCUAGUGGCUUCUUGGGGAGCAUUGUGCCUUCACACCGCUCCAAACGGAGAUUAGCAUCCGCAAGGGUGUGAACUUCGGGAUACAUCAUCGUCUCCGCGUGCCUCGGUUAUCUCUUACCCGAGCUCUUUACUUAUGCACUUUACUUUGUGAUAGCCAUAUUGUUUCUUGUCAUAUAUCUUUGAAGGAAAUAUGCCCAAGAGGCAAUAAUAAAGUUAUUAUUUAUUUCCUUAUAUCAUGAUAAAUGUUUAUUAUUCAUGCUAGAAUUGUAUUAACCGGAAACAUAAUACAUGUGUGGAUACAUAGACAAACAGAGUGUCACUAGUAUGCCUCUACUUGACUAGCUCGUUGAUCAAAGAUGGUUAUGUUUCCUAAUCAUAGACAUGAGUUGUCAUUUGAUUAACGGGAUCACAUCAUUAGGAGAAUGAUGUGAUUGACUUGACCCAUUUCGUUAGCUUAGCACUUGAUCGUUUAGUUUGUUGCUAUUGCAUUCGUCGUGACUUAUACAUGUUCCUAUGACUAUGAGAUUAUGCAACUCCCGUUUACUGGAGGAACACUUUGUGUGCUACCAAACGUCACAAUGUAACUGGGUAAUUAUAAAGGUGCUCUACAGGUGUCUCCGAAGGUACUUGUUGGGUUGGCAUAUUUCGAGAUUAGGAUUUGUCACUCUGAUUGUCGGAGAGGUAUCUCUGGGCCCUCUCGGUAAUGCACAUCACAUAAAGCCUUGCAAGCACUGCAACUAAUAAGUUAGUUGCGGGAUGAUGUAUUAUGGAACGAGUAAAGAGACUUGCCGGCAAUGACAUUGAACUAGGUAUUGAGUUACCGACGAUCAAAUCUCGGGCAAGUAACAUGCCGAUGACAAAGGGAACAACGUAUGUUGUUAUGCGGUCUGACCGAUAAAGAUCUUUGUAGAAUAUGUAGGAGCCAAUAUGAGCAUCCAGGUUCCGCUAUUGGCUAUUGACCGGAGACGUGUCUCGAUCAUGUCUACAUAGUUCUCGAACCCGUAGGGUCCGCACGCUUAACAUUACGGUGACAGUUUCAUUAUGAGUUUAUAUAUUUUGAUGUACCGAAGGUUGUUCGGAGUCCCGGAUGUGAUCACGGACAUGACGAGGAGUCUCGAAAUGGUCGAGACAUAAAGAUCGAUAUAUUGGACGGCUAUAUUCGGACACCGAAAGUGUUUCGGGUGAUUUCGGAGAAAACCGGAAUGCCGGAGGGUUACNNNNNNNNNNNNNNNNNNNNNNNNNNNNNNNNNNNNNNNNNNNNNNNNNNNNNNNNNNNNNNNNNNNNNNNNNNNNNNNNNNNNNNNNNNNNNNNNNNNNNNNNNNNNNNNNNNNNNNNNNNNNNNNNNNNNNNNNNNNNNNNNNNNNNNNNNNNNNNNNNNNNNNNNNNNNNNNNNNNNNNNNNNNNNNNNNNNNNNNNNNNNNNNNNNNNNNNNNNNNNNNNNNNNNNNNNNNNNNNNNNNNNNNNNNNNNNNNNNNNNNNNNNNNNNNNNNNNNNNNNNNNNNNNNNNAGAGGGGCUGCCAGGAUGGGCCGCGCGCCCCCUCCCCCUCUGGUCCGAAUUGGACUAGGAGAGGGGGGGCGGCGCCCCCCUUUCCUUCUCCCUCUCCCCCUUCCUUUCCCCCUCCUAGUAGGAGUAGGAAAGAAGGGAGUCCUACUCCUACUAGGAGGAGGACUCCUCCUCCUGGCGCGCCUUGCAAGGGCCGGCCGGCCUCCCCCCUUGCUCCUUUAUAUAUGGGGGCAGGGGGCACCUCUAGACACAUAAGUUGAUCUUCAUGAUCGUUCUCUUAGCCGUGUGCGGUGCCCCCCCUCCACCAUAAUCCUCUAUAAUAUUGUAGCGGUGCUUAGGCGAAGCCCUGCGACGGUAGAACAUCAAGAUCAUCAUCACGCCGUCGUGCUGACGGAACUCUUCCCCGACACUUUGCUGGAUCAGAGUCCGGGGAUCGUCAUCGAGCUGAACGUGUGCUAGAACUCGGAGGUGCCGUAGUUUCGGUGCUUGAUCAGUCGGGCCGUGAAGACGUACGACUACAUCAACCGCGUGUGCUAACGCUUCCACUUCCGGUCUACGAGGGUACAUAGACAACACUCUCCCCUCUCGUUGCUAUGCAUCACCAUGAUCUUGUGUGUGCGUAGGAAAUUUUUUGGAAUUACUAUGUUCCCCAACAGUGGUAUCAGAGCCAGGUUUUAUGCGUUGAUGUUAUGCACGAGUAGAACACAAGUGAGUUGUGGGUGAUAUAAGUCAUACUGCUUACCAGCAUGUAAUACUUUGGUUCGUCGGUAUUGUUGGAUGAAGCGGCCCGGACCGACAUUACGCGUACGCUUACGCGAGACUGGUUUUACCGCCGUGCUAUGCACACAGGUGACUAGCGGGUGUCAGUUUCUCCAACUUUAGUUGAACCGAGUGUGGCUACGCCUAGUCCUUGCGAAGGUUAAAACAACACCAACUUGACAAACUAUCGUUGUGGUUUUGAUGCGUAGGUAAGAACGGUUCUUGCUAAGCCCGUAGCAGCCACGUAAAACUUGCAACAACAAAGUAGAUGAUGUCUAACUUGUUUUUGCAGGACAUGUUGUGAUGUGAUAUGGUCAAGACGUGAUGAGAUAUAAGUUGUUGUAUAAGAUGAUCAUGUUUUGUUGAAGUUAUUGGCAACUGGCAGAAGCCUUAUGGUUGUCUCUUUAUUGCAUAAGAUGCAAGCGCCAAAUAAUUGCUUUACAAUUAUCGCUAUGCGAUAGCAAUAGUUGCAAGAGCAAUAAUUGGCGAGACGACCAUGUGACAACACAUUGAUAUAGAUCAAGAUGAUGGAGAUCAUGGUGUCACGCCGGUGACGAUGGUGAUCAUGACGGUACUUCGGAGAUGCAGAUCACAAGUACAAGAUGAUGAUGGCCAUAUCAUAUCACUUAUAUUGAUUGCAUGUGAUGUUUAUCUUUUAUGCAUCUUAUCUUGCUUUGAUUGAUGGUAGCAUUAUAAGAUGAUCCCUCACUAAAUUAUCAAAGUAUAAGUGUUCUCCCUGAGUAUGCACCAUUGUGAAAGUUCUUCGUGCUGAGACACCACGUGAUGAUCGGGUGUGAUAGGAUCUACGUUCAAAUACAAGGGUGCAAAACAGUUGCACACGUGGAAUACUUAGGUUAAACUUGACGAGCCUAGCAUAUAACAGAUAUGGCCUCGGAACACGGAGACCGAAAGGUCGAGCGUGAAUCAUAUAGUAGAUAUGAUCAACAUAGUGAUGUUCACCAUUGAAACUACUCCAUCUCACGUGAUGAUCGAACAUGGUUUAGUUGAUUUGUAUCACGUGAUCACUUAGAGGAUUAGAGGGAUGUCUAUCUAAGUGGGAGUUCUUAAGUAAUAUGAUUAAUUGAACUUUAAUUUAUCAUGAACUUAGUCCUGGUAGUAUUAGCAUAUCUAUGUUGUAGAUCAAUAGCUCGCAAUGUUGCUCCCCGUUUAAUUUUUUGAUACGUUCCUAGAGAAAACUAAGUUGAAAGAUGUUAGUAGCAAUGAUGCGGAUUGGAUCCGUGAUCUGAGGUUUAUCCUCAUUGCUGCACAGAAGAAUUAUGUCUUUGAUGCACCGCUAGGUGACAAACCUAUUGCAGGAGUAGAUGCAGAUGUUAUGAACAUUUGGCUAGCUCAAUAUGAUGACUACUUGAUAGUUUAGUGCACCAUGCUUAAACGACUUAGAAUCGGGACUUCAAAGACGUUUUGAACGUCAUGGACCAUAUGAGAUGUUCCAGGAGUUGAAGUUAAUAUUUCAAGCAAAUACCCGAGUUUAGAGAUAUGAAGUCUCCAACAAGUUCUAUAGCUAAAAGAUGGAGGAGAAUAGCUCAAGCAGUGAGCAUGUGCUCAGAUUGUCUGGGUACUACAAUCACUUGAAUCAAGUGGGAGUUAAUCUUCCAGAUAAAAUAGUGAUUGAUAGAAUUAUCUAGUCACCAUCACCAAGUUAGUAGAACUUUGUGAUGAACUAUGAUAUCCAAGGGAUAACGGAAACGAUUCCCAAGCUCUUCGUAAUGCUGAAAUCGACGAAGGUAGAAAUCAAGAAAAAUAUCAAGUGUUGAUGGUAGACAAGACCACUAGUUUCAAGAAAAGGGCAAAGGGGAGAAAGGGAACUUCAAGAAGAACGGCAAUCAAGUUGCUGCUCAAGUGAAGAAGCCCAAGUCUGGACCUAAGCCUGAGACUAAGUGCUUCUACUGCAAAGGGACUGGUCACUGGAAGCGGAACUACCCCAAGUAAUUGGCGGAUAAGAAGGAUGGCAAAGUGAACAAAGGUAUAUUUGAUAUACAGAUUAUUGAUGUGUAUUUUACAAGUGUUCAUAGCAACCCCUCGGUAUUUGAUACUGGUUCAGUUGCUAAGAGUAGUAGCUCGAAAGGGAGUUGUAGAAUGAACAGAGACUAGUUAAGGGUGAAGUGACGAUGUGUGUUGGAAGUGGUUCCAAGAUUGAUAUGAUCAUCAUCGCACACUCCCUAUACUUUCGGGAUUAGUGUUGAACCUAAAUAAGUGUUAUUUGGUGUUUGCGUUGAGCAUGAAUAUGAUUUGAUCAUGUUUAUUGCAAUACGGUUAUUCAUUUAAGUAAGAGAAUAAAUUGUUGUUCUGUUUACAUAUAUGGUUACACACCCAAUGAAAAUGGUUUGUUGGAUCUCAAUCGUAGUACAUAUUCAUAAUAUUGAAACCAAAAGAUGCAAAGUUAAUAAUGAUAGUGCAACUUAUUUGUGGCACUGUCGUUUAGGUCAUAUUGGUGUAAAGCGCAUGAAGAAAAUCCAUGUUGAUGUGCUUUUGGAAUCACUUGAUUAUGAAUCAGUUGAUGCUUUCGAACCAUGCCUCACGGGCAAGAUGACUAAGACUCCGUUCUCCGGAACAAUGGAGCAAGCAACAGAUUUGUUGGAAAUCAUACAUACUAAUGUAUGUGGUCCGAUGAAUAUUGAGGCUCGCGGUAGGUAUCAUUAUUUUCUGAUCUUCACAGAUAAUUUGAGCAGAUAUGAGUAUAUCUACUUGAUGAAACACAAGUCUGAAAUAUUUGAAAAGUUCAAAGAAUUUCAGAGUGAAGUGGAGAAUCAUCGUAACAAAAAUAAAAGUUUCUACGAUAUGAUCGCAGAAGUAAAAUAUUUGAGUUACGAGUUUGGCCUUCAGUUAAAACAAUGUGAAAUAGUUUCACUACUCACGCCACCUGGAACACCACAGUGUAAUGGUGUGUCUGAACGUCGUAAUCAUACUUUACUUGAUAUGGUGCGAACUAUGAUGUCUCUUACAGAUUUACCACUAUCGUUUUGGGGUUAUGCAUUAGAGACAGCUGCAGUCACGUUAAAAAGGGAACCAUCUAAAUCCGUUGAGGCGACACCGUAUGAACUGUGGUUUGGCAAGAAACCAAAGUUGUCGUUUCUUAAAGUUUGAGGUUGCAAUGCUUAUGUGAAAAAGUUUCAACCUGAUAAGCUCUAACCCAAAUCGGAGAAGUGUGUCUUCAUAGGAUACCCAAAAGAAAAUGUUGGGUACACCUUCUAUCACAGAUCCGAAGGCAAUAUUUUUGUUGCUUUGAAUGGAUCCUUUCUAGAAAAGGAGUUUCUCUCGAAAGAAGUGAGUGGGAGGAAAGUAGAACUUGAUGAGGUAACUGUACCUGCUCCCUUAUUGGAAAGUAGUUCAUCACAGAAAUCUGUUCCUAUGACUACUACACCGAUUAGUGAGGAAGCUAAUGAUGAUGAUCAUGUAACUUUAGAUCAAGUUACUACCGAACCUCGUAUGUAAACCAGAGUGAGAUCCGCACCAGAGUGGUACGGUAAUCCUAUUCUGGAGGUCAUGUUACUUGACCAUGACGAGCCUACGAACUAUGAGGAAGCGAUGAUGAGCCCAGAUUCCGCGAAAUGGCUUGAGGCCAUGAAAUCUGAGAUGAGAUCCAUGUAUGAGAACAAAGUAUGGACUUUGAUUGACUUGCCCAUUGAUCGGAGAGCCAUUGAGAUUAAAUGGAUCUUCAAGAGGAAGACGAACGCUGAUAGUAGUGUUACUAUCUACAAAGCUAGAAUUGUUGCAAAAAGGUUUUCGACAAGUUCAAGGUGUUGACUACGAUGAGAGUUUCUCACUCGUAUCUAUGCUUAAGUCUGUCUGAAUCAUGUUAGCAAUUGCCGCAUUUUAUGAAAUCUGGCAAGUGGAUAAACAGAAUUGCAUUCCUUAAUAAAUUAAUUAAAGAAGAGUUGUAUAUGAUGCAACAAGAAAGUUUUGUCAAUCCUAAAGGUGCUAACAAAAUAUGCAAGCUCCAGCGAUCCAUCUUUGGACUGGUGCAAGCAUCUCGGAGUUGGAAUAUACGCUUUGAUAAGUUGAUCAAAGCAUAUAGUUUUAUACAGACUUGCAGUGAAGCCUGUAUUUACAAGAAAGUGAGUGGGAGCACUACAGCAUUUCUGAUAAGUAUAUGUGAAUAACAUAUUGUUGAUCAGGGAUAAUGUAGAAUUAUUCUGCAAAGCAUAAAGGAGUGUUUGAAAGGAGUUUUUCAAAGAAAGACCUCGGUGAAGCUGCUUACAUAAUGAGCAUCAAGAUCUAUAGAGAUAGAGCAAGACACUUGAUAAGUUUUUCAAUGAGUGCAUACCUUGACAAGAUUUUGAAGUAGUUCAAAAUGGAACGGUCAAAGAAAGAGUUCUUGCCUGUGUUACAAGGUGUGAAGUUGAGUAAGACUCAAAACUCGACCACGGCAGAAGAUAGAGAGAGAAUGAAAGUCAUUCCCUAUGCCUUGGCCAUAGGUUCUAUAAAAUAUGCCAUGCUGUGUACCAGAUCUAUUGUAUACCCUACAUUGUUUUUGGCAAGGGAGUACAAUAGUGAUCUAGGAGUAGAUCACUGGACAGCGGUCAAAUUAUCCUUAGUGAAAUAAGGAUAUGUUUCUCGAUUAUGGAGGUGACAAAAAGGUUCGUCGUAAAGGGUUACGUCGAUACAAGUUUUGACACUGAUCCAGAUGACUCAAAGUCUCAAUCUGGAUACAUAUUGAAAGUGGGAGCGAUUAGCUAGAGUAGCUCCGUGUAGAGCAUUGUUGACAUAGAAAUUUGCAAAAUACAUACGGAUCUGAAUAUGGCAGACCCGUUGACUAAACUUCCCUCACAAGCAAAACAUGAUCACACCUUAGUACUCUUUGGGUAUUAAUCACAUAACAAUGUGAACUAGAUUAUUGACUCUAGUAAACCCUUUGGGUGUUAAUCACAUGGUGAUGUGAACUGUUGAUGUUAAAUCACAUGGCGAUGUGAACUAGAUUAUUGACUCUAGUGCAAGUGGGAGACUGAAGGAAAUAUGACCUAGAGGCAAUAAUAAAGUUAUUAUUUAUUUCCUUAUAUCAUGAUAAAUGUUUAUUACUCAUGCUAGAAUUGUAUUAACCGGAAACAUAAUACAUGUGUGGAUACAUAGACAAAUAGAGUGUCACUAGUAUGCCUCUACUUGACUAGCUCGUUGAUCAAAGAUGGUUAUGUUUCCUAAUCAUAGACAUGAGUUGUCAUUUUAUUAACGGGUUCACAUCAUUAGGAGAAUGAUGUGAUUGACUUGACCCAUUUCGUUAGCUUAGCACUUGAUCGUUUAGUUUGUUGCUAUUGCUUUCUUCAUGACUUAUACAUGUCCCUAUGACUAUGAGAGUAUGCAACUCCCGUUUACCGGAGAAACACUUUGUGUGCUACCAAACAUCACAACGUAAGUGGGUGAUUAUAAAGGUGCUCUACAGGUGUCUCCAAAGGUACUUGUUGGGUUGGCGUAUUUCGAGAUUAGGAUUUGUCACUCCGAUUGUCGGAGAGGUAUCUCUGGGCCCUCUCGGUAAUGCACAUCACAUAAAGCCUUGCAAGCAUUGCAACUAAUAAGUUAGUUGUGGGAUGAUGUAUUAUGGAAUGAGUAAAGAGACUUGCCGGCAACGAGAUUGAACUAUGUAUUGAGAUACCGAUGAUCAAAUCUCGGGCAAGUAACAUACCGAUGACAAAGGGAACAACGUAUGUUGUUAUGCGGUCUGACCGAUAAAGAUCUUCGUAGAAUAUGUAGGAGCCAAUAUGAGCAUCCAGGUUCCGCUAUUGGCUAUUGACCGGAGACGUGUCUCGGUCAUGUCUACAUAGUUCUCGAACCCGUAGGGUCCGCACGCUUAACAUUACGAUGAAAGUUUCAUUAUGAGUUUAUAUAUUUUGAUGUACCGAAGGUUGUUCGGAGUCCCGGAUGUGAUCACGGACAUGACGAGGAGUCUCAAAAUGGCCGAUACAUGAAGAUCAAUAUAUUGUACGGCUAUAUUCGGACAUCGAAAGUGUUUCGGGUGAUUUCGGAGAAAACCAGAGUGACGGAGGGUUACCGGACCCCCCCGGGAGAAGUAAUGGGCCUUAUGGACCUUAGUGGAGAGAGAGGGGCUGCCAGGAUGGGCCGCGCGCCCCCUCCCCCUCUGGUCCAAAUUGGACUAGGAGAGGGGGGGCGGCGCCCCCCUUUCCUUCUCCCUCUCCCCCUUCCUUUCCCCCUCCUAGUAGGAGUAGGAAAGAAGGGAGUCCUACUUCUACUAGGAGGAGGACUCUCCUCCUGGCGCGCCUUGCAAGGGCCGGCCGGCCUCCCCCCUUGCUCCUUUAUAUACGGGGGCAGGGGGCACCUCUAGACACAUAAGUUGAUCUUCGUGAUCGUUCUCUUAGCCGUGUGCGGUGCCCCCCUCCACCAUAAUCCUCGAUAAUAUUGUAGCGGUGCUUAGGCGAAGCCCUGCGACGGUAGAACAUCAAGAUCGUCACCAUGCCAUCAUGCUGACGGAAAUCUUCCCCGACACUUUGCUGGAUCAGAGUCCGGGGAUCGUCAUCGAGCUGAACGUGUGCUAGAAUUCGGAGGUGCCGUAGUUUCGGUGCUUGAUCGGUCGGGCCGUGAAGACGUACGACUACAUCAACCGCAUUGUGCUAACGCUUCCGCUUCUGGUCUACGAGGGUACGUAGACAACACUCUCCCCUCUCGUUGCUAUGCAUCACCAUGAUCUUGCGUGUGCGUAGGAAAUUUUUUGAAAUUACUACGUUCCCCAACAAUCUUGCUAUCACAUAGUUGAUAUCUUGCUUAGCAUAAGUUGUUGGUGCACAUAGGUGAGCCUAGUUGUUUUAGGUUUUGUGCUUGACAAAUUAACCGCUAGGUUUAUUCCGCAUUUGUUCAAGCCUAAAUCGUAAUUAUUUUAAUAGGCCUAUUCACCCCCCCCCUCUAGGCGACAUCCACGAUCUUUCAAUUGGUAUCAGAGCCUCGUCUCUCUUUAUAGGGCUUAACCGCCUAGAGAGUAAUGAUGUCGACUAGGGGAUUAGGAUUCUCUGACACUCUUAGUUUCGAUGGCACAAAUUUUGAUGUUUGGGUAAUUCGCAUGCUUAAUCUCUUUAGGGUCAUGGACCCAAAUUUAGAGCGAAUUGUAGAUAUGGGUUUUUCUCCUCCAAAGGAUCCCCAAAUAUUAUCUUUAGAGGAUGAGAAAAACUCUUAUCUCGAUGCUCAAGCUUCUAAUGUGCUUUUCAAUGCUUUGAGCAAUGUAGUUAUAUUUCAACUCAUGCCGUCCCGAGAUGCUCAUGAGUUGUGGACAAAGCUUCAAGAUAAAUAUGGCGUGUCUAAGUUUUGUGGGGAUGAUUGUUCUCCCUCCACAUCGGCCAUGUUGCCUUCUCAACUUCUUCUACUUUGCCUACAUGUGGAUUUCCACAAGGUAAUGCUAUGGUGAGUAGUGUUGGUCAUUGCAAUGAUGAUAGUGUGCUUAUCGUUGAUGACUCUUCUUCACUAGCUUGUUGCAAUGCUCCAUCUUUGGACUUUAGCACUUCGAAUGUCUCACAUGCUUGUGUUGAUAGUCCUUGCAUAUCAUGUAGAAAUUUCUUGACUAAAUCUCAUGAUGAUAUGCUUGCUAUGCCUUGUUGCCAUGAUAGAAAUGUAUCUAUUUCCUCGAGUUGUUGUGCUAACAAUGUAGAGGAAACCCAACACUCCAUGGAACAAGAUGUGGUCUUGAACGGUGCUUCAAGAGAUCCUGCAUCACCAUCGACCGCUUUUUGCCUUAUGGCUAAGGCUUCAAAGGUAUCUCCCACUUUGAAUCCCAAUAUAUCUUGUGAUGAUAUUGAUGAUGUCAAGAAUGAUGAUGAUGUUGAUUAUGAUGAAGAGAAUGAUAAUGUUGCCUCCUUAAAAAUUAAGGGGGAAAUGGUUUUUAAAGCUCUUCAUAAAAAUAAAAUUGCUUGUUCCAACUUCAUGGAAAUUAUGUCCAUUGCCAUUCAGGGCAAGAAAUAUAUUGAGGAGUUGGAAUCUCGUCUCGAGGAGCAUGAGGUCACCAUUGAGAAAAUGGAAGGUCAUGAGCGUGAUUACGCUAAUGAGAUUGCGGACCUCUCUCAAGCUCUUGAACUUGAACAAACCACCAAGGAAUCUCUUGAGGAGACUUUUGCUCUAGAAUUAUCUAGAGUGAGGGAAUCUCGUGAUAGAGCUCUUGAGGUGGCCAAUGAUUUUGAAACUAAAAAUGAGGAGCUUGAAGUUGUGCAUGCUAAACUCCUUGAGGACUUUGAGCACCUCGAAAAUGGCUCAAGGGUCAUUUAAGAGUGAGCUCGUCAAACUCACCGAGUCUCAUGCUCAACUUAAAGCUUCAUAUUCAAAAGGGCUUGCCAAGUUGUCUUCUCCUCUUGUUGCUAAUGAUUAUGCUUGUGCUACUAACUCUAUCUCUUGUGAAGCAUCCAUAUUAAAGGAGAAUGUUGAGCUAAGGGCUCAACUUGAGUUGCUAUCUAACAACCGUGGGAUGUUGGAAGAAAAUCAUGUAAAGCUCAAAAGCUCUCAUGAUGAUCUUCUAGUAUCCCAUAAUGUGCUAAAGAUAGCUCAUGAGGCCAUGCUUGCUAAGGUAACAUCUAGUGAGCCUCAUGUGGAUACUAGCACUACUUUCGGUCAAAAUGCUAUAUUGCCUUGUGCUAGUCCUCGCAAUUCAUCCAUGCAUAACAUUGGUACAUCUUGUGAUGAAUUGCUUUCUUGCCUUGUUGCUCUAAUGAUUAAGCUUAUACUUCCUCUAGUACUUGUGUUGAGACUAACCAUGUAGAGGAAAUCAAAGAGCUCAAGGCCCAAGUCACUUCUUUGAAGAAAGACCUGGAAAAGAGUCGUGAAGGGAAAUUUACUCUCAACAACAUCUUGAGCAUGCAAAAAUCCCCCAAUGACAAAGGUGGACUUGGAUUCAACUCCAACAAGAAGAAGAAGUCCAAGGUGAACAAAAAGAAGGGCCAAAAACAAGUCAAUAAUUCGGCCAAGAUCAUUUGCUUCAAGUGCAAAAUUGAAGGGCAUCAUGUUAGAUCUUGCCCUUUGAAGAAGAAGGCCAUUAGUGACGAGCAACAAGGGAAGCGGAUAUAAGUGCAUUCUCAUGCUCAACCUCAAGUUGAAGAAAGGCAUCUUCCCAAGAAGACUCAAGCUAAUGCUUCUCAAGUUGAGAAAUCAAGUGAGAAGAAAGUGAAGAGUAGACGUUGCUACCUAUGUCGCGAGAAAGGUCACCGCGCUUCUUCAUGCACUAGUGGUAACUUAUCCAACCCAAUUAUUAUUGAUGAUAUCUAUUAUAUUGGGAAGGAUAAGGUUGGCAAUGUGGUUGCCAAGUUUGUUGGUACUCAAAGUGGUUUGAAGCAAAGAACCAUUUGGGUAGCCAAGCCUAUUGUGACUAACCUCUUAGGACCCAACUUGGCUGGGGACCAACUAGCUCAUACUUGAUCAAUAGGUGUUGUUGGAGGUCUUUGGAGACUUGGCUACAUUAUGAAAAAUUAAGGGUACUUCAUCAUUCUUAUUGUCUCAAGCCAAGUCAUUCGGAUUAUCAAGUUUCUAUCUUAUAUCCAAUGUUCCUCCUUGCGGUAACUCGUUCUUAAAUUGUUUACUUGAAAGUUACUUGCCCCUUAGCAUGUUGUGGUUUUGUACCUUGCAUGUGAUUGUAUAUGUUGUGCUUCAAAUUUGCUUAUCUUGAGAAGUCAAGUAUGUGUAUGUUGGUGUGCACAUCAUGUACGUGUGUGUUGUGUGUUGAGCCUUUUUGCAUCUUGUUUAUAUCUUAGUUUGCUCUUGUGAGAGAUUAAUGUAAUAUCCCAUUGUGGGGGAGUGAUGUGCUUUGUGCACCUCACAAUCCUAUAAAUGUGUGUACAUGAGGAAUACCAUCUAGUAUUGAUAUUACAAGAUUAUCUAGUCGCUAUAUGGUAUGUCUUCUCAUGAGAAAUUCAAAUUCUAGAUAGUCCAUUAAUUAUCUCUUGUUGGAUCCUUUAAUUGCCUCUUGUCUAUCUUUAAUUGGUAUCACAUUAUGGGGGAGUAAUAUGCUAUGUGUAUAUUACUAGCCUAGAAAAUGUGUACAUUUGAGAUAUUGUCACCUAGAAUUGAUAUUGUAAAUUAUCUUGUUCCUAGGUGGCAUGUUAGCUCUACAAGUUUCAAUUUGCUUUUUGUUUGGUGUGAAGAUGAUGUCGGAUAUCUUUGUUAUCUACCACCGGGAAUUAUUUCCAAAUACUUCUUGUCUUUUGACAAUUGGUACUCACUUAUGUGUGGUAGAAAUUAUUGAUCAUCUUUACAUUGGCCUUUGCUUUUAUUUGCUUUAUCUCUUGCCUAGGUUUGUGUCAACACCCAUUGUAUUCCAUACCACUUGUGGAUCUUGUUAAUUUCUUGACCUUGUCUAGUGUUUUCUAGAUAUAGUGAAAGUGGUGAUCCCACCUCGUGCAUUUUGUAUUCAAAUGCAAAUUCUCUAUAAUGCACUAGUCGUGGGGGAGCUAUCCUAUUUUCUAUAAAACACUCAUCUUGCGAUCCUUAUCAAGUGUGUGUUGGUGGAAGGCAAGCCGUUUUUGUUUUGGUACUUUGUGCCAUCAUGAAACUUUGUAGAGAGCUUGGUUUGUUUGGAACCAUCCUCUCUUUUGGGGGUUUGAUAUCUUUUAUUUAGUGGGUAUCAAUGGAUAUCUCAUUCCUUGAUGUAUCUCUUAUGGAUAUCCUCCAAGUGAUGUUUUAUUCAUUUGGUAUCUCUUCUUCACUUGGUAUUUCUUUGUCAAUUGGUAUCGGUUCUUGAAAGUCUUUAGCAUGCAUAUUUACUUCAUGUAUUUUCUUUGGCAUGCUUUCUUUCUCUGAUCCAAUAUGUAGGGGAAACUCCACCAAGUCUCAAAUUGGAUGAGAUGUGCAUGAAAUUCAUGUCCAUAUCUAUAUGCACAUAUCUAUGUUGAGUUUGUCCUAUGUAUAUUGGUGUUUCUAACUCUUUGGCCCCAAUGAGUUUGGGUACCAUUUUGUUUGUGUUGUUGUUCUAGGAACAAUUGGAGAUGCAUUGGAUGCUCGGCUCACUCACAAGGAAGAUGGUGUGACCAUGUGCUUAUUGGAUUCAAGCUAGGAUGCUCAAUGAACUACUAUCUACUACCUUCAAUUGGUUUCUUCUACAUCCUUCCAAUGAUAUCUCGGUAACAAGUAUCUAUUCAUGCAUUCUUUUCUUGCAUUCAACCUUGUGUAGGUUGCAUCUUGGCAUAAUAUUCAUUCCAUCUUGUGAUGCUUGUUUCCUUUCUCAAAGCAUCCCAACAAUGAUCUCUUGUUGCUAGUUGUGAUGUCUUUGUUGUUCGUGUGUGGACUUCAUUUAUAUACAAUAAGACCAUAUCUAGCCAUGUGCUAUGCUCCCAAGCAAAUAUCUUAUUGGUAUAUGUAUGACCUCCCUUUGGAUAUCUUGUUCCUCGUGUUGUAACUAUUUCGGGUGUACAUCCUUCUUUGUAGAUAAAUAUCAUCAUGAUUUCGUCUACCUAGAAUCUUAUACACUUGAGAGAAGUUGCAUAUCUAGUUGAUAUCCUUUAUUUCACGUCCACCUUGUCUUUCUCUUGUUAUUUCUUUGGUGGCUCAGUGAAAGCUUUUGCCUUGAGUGCGUGUCUUAUAUCGUUGCAUCUUGAUGCACUCUUGUGUGGUGAAGAUUAUUUUCCUCAUGCUUAUAUUUACGAGGCUUUUGCCACCUUAAUUGUUAUCCCUCGUCUUGAUGAGGCUUUCAUCCUCUAUCUUCACCACGGGUUGUCACAAGCAUAGGUUCUUUAUAUGCUUAUUAGUAAGCUUAUGAACCCAUUUGGUAGUUGUGUGUGGGAAUGAUAGGCCUUGCACCGUGUGCCUCAUUCUUUCAAGACUUUAUUGAUGCUUAAUGCUCAUCCAUACAUUAGUCUUCUCAAGUGCAUUGCCUUGACUCACACACAUCAUUUUGGUUGAGCCCAUUCUUAAGUUGUCUUUCUCUUGUUGCUCAACCAUGUGUUUGUAGCAAGUGCUAGGCUUAGUUUCCUAUAUGCUCACUUGCACUUGUUGUAAGUUUCUAUUGAUUUUGGGGGAGAUGUGAUCCUAUUUUGUGCACUUUGUAUCCAAAUACAAAAAUUCUUAUGUGUGCACAAAUCAUGGGGAGCUUCUCUAGUUUCUUUAGAACACGCCUUUGCUCAUAUCAUAAUAUCCUUUAUUCAUGUAGUUCGUAGGAUCUUUGGUCUAGUUGGUUGAAUUGAUACCCGUUGUCGGUGUCAAAACCGGCGGAUCUCGGGUAGGGGGUCCCGAACUGUGCGUCUAGGCCGGAUGGUAACAGGAGGCAGGGGACACAAUGUUUUACCCAGGUUCGGUCCCUCUUGAUGGAGGUAAAACCCUACGUCCUGCUUGAUUGAUAUUGAUGAUAUGGGUAGUACAAGAGUAGAUCUACCACGAGAUCAGAGAGGCUAAACCCUAGAAGCUAGCCUAUGGUAUGAUUGUAUGUUGUGAUUGUUGUCCUACGGACUAAAACCCUUCGGUUUAUAUAGACACCGGAGAGGGUUAGGGUUACACAAGGUCGGUUACAAAGGAGGAGAUAUCCAUAUCCGUAUUGCCUAGCUUGCCUUCCACGCCAAGUAGAGUCCCAUCCGGACACGAGACGAAGUCUUCAAUCUUGUAUCUUCAUAGUCCAACAGUCCGGCCAAUGGAGAUAGUCCGGCUGUCCGGAGACCCCCUAAUCCAGGACUCCCUCAGUACCCCCUGAACCAGGCUUCAAUGACGAUGAGUCCGGGGCACAGUAUUGUCUUCGGCAUUGCAAGGCGGGUUCCUUCUCCGAAUACAUCACAGAAGAAUUUGAAUACGAGGAUAGUGUCCGACCUUGCAAAAUAAGUUCCACAUACCGCCGUAGAGAGAAUAAUAUUUUCGCAAAUCCAAUUUGCUGACUUGUUUUGGCAGCAUGACGUUAUGUCAUGGCCCGGUGAUUAUUCGAACCAUUUUUCUUCAACCAGCUCCACACAUAACGCGAGGCGGUUUCUUGACACGUCUUGUCAAAGCAGAGAUCGUGUUCCCCCAAUUGCGGGAUUCUCAUUAAUGCGGUCGUGGGUAACCCAACCGUGUCUAGGACUCCUAGGUUAUAGGCAAGUCCUAAAUGGCUAUGGAGAGGACGCUUGAUAUUCACCCUCUUUAUAAAGGGACAAGGUUUUCGCUUUUUCCCUCUCGUGCUCAAUCGAACCCUUCCCCCGCCUCGAGUUCCAACACCCAAAGGCCAGGUUAGGUGCUCCGGAUCUUCAAUCAUGUCCGGAUCCAGCCUUCAAGGCCGAUGGAUGCCCUCCUCCGUGACGGAAGAGGACAUCAAGAAGUUGAGGGAGGCCAGAUACCUGACCGCCGAGGUUUCGCAUCGGCUUCCUGCUCGAGGGCAGGUCGUCCCUACUCCCGAACCCAACGAGAACGUCGUGUUCAUCUCCCACUUCCUUCGAGGCCUAGGCCUCACUCUGGAUCCCUUCGUCAGGGGUUUGAUGUUCUAUUACGGGCUAGAUUUCCACGAUCUAGCUCGGACUCCUUUCUCCACAUCUCGACAUUUAUUGUCGUGUGUGAGGCCUUCCUCCGUAUUACCCCUCACUUCGGCCUGUGGCUCAAGACCUUUGAAGUGAAGCUGAAGAUGAUCGAGGGGCAACAUGCAGCGUGCGGAGGUGCAUCAAUAGGCAAGAUGGCAGGAGCUCCAUGGCCGAAAGGUUCCUUUCCAGAGGUGUCUGAAUUAUGGCAACGGGAGUGGUUUUACGUCAUGGCUCCCAGAAGUGCCAAGUGGGCGGCUGCCCCCGCUUUCCGCUCGGGCCCCCAACCAUGACUAAUGUCAUGGAUUAGCAGAGGUCUGAGCUGGGGUCCAGCCAAGGACGUGCCUAUACUGCAAAGCCGCAUUCGAGAUCUCUUCGAGGGAGAUUUUAAUUUGGUCAUGGUAAUACAAGUUAUGUUGGUUCGUCAAGUCCAGCCUUGCAAACGCCGGCCCCUUCGCUUGUGGGAGUUCAACCCAGAAGGACCGCGUGCCAUUCAAAGUUUCCUCGGCCUGACGCACGAGGAGAUGUACAAGUCAUUCUUCGGACCUCAAAUAGAGUGUCCAGAUACUACCGAGGACGUGGGCCUAAGCAGUAACCGCGCCGCCGAACAAGUAAGAAAUCCUCUAGCUGAACACACUGUCUUUUAUUCAUCAUGAAGUUAUUUCUGAGAAUUCGCUCUUUGACCAGGACUGGCUAACAAAGGCGAAGAUGAUUCGGUGUUUGGCCCCCCUCCCUGAGGGUUUGGAAAAUCCGGUAUUGGAAAAGAUGCUCGAGCUCGCACCUUUCCCGGAGCCCUCGAAGGAAGAUACGGGGGAUAAUACGGGCGGACGCGGGCCCCCAUCGCUGCCAGUUCCCACCGAGGGAAUGAGCGUCUCCAUGAAGGAGGAUAACUGGGGUAGGAAAAGGACUGCUUCCGAGGAUCCGGAAGCCGAGGCCUCCAAACUGGAGAAGAAGUCUCCCACAGAGGGUCCUGCCUCGGAGGGUGCUUUUGCCGCACAAAGUCCGCGGGGGGAUCCGCCCUCCAACGAGUCAUAAGUGAUCCAAAAAAUACUUCAAUAGUGAAGGUAUACUAUCUUUCUUCUGAGAAAAUAACCACCGCAUAUAUCUUGCGGUUCGGGCCUUAGCCCCUCUCAUCUGAGCUCGUCUUCGGGGGAUCUUCUUCCAGAGAUGAUGGAGAGCGAAACGCCUCCCCCAGACUCCUCCGCUCAAGAAGCGGGAGACCCCGAAGUGUCGUCACGGAGGGCCUCUCCGGAUACGGUGAGGCCAGAAGAUAAUCCCAUAGACCCCCGAAGUCCCCAGCGUCCGGCUCCCGAAGAGAGCAAACAAAAGAGUCUGGCACCGUCUGGUAUGCGGUCGGACAUUCUGAGGGAGCUGGUGGGGCGAGCGGCCAUCUCAGAAGAACACCGUACGCUGAUGGGUAUGGUGAUGGAGAGAAUUUCGUCCGCCGAAAGCGGAUUACAUGAAGCCUUUAUAAGUCUACUGACAGGCUUUGAGGUACGUGAGAUAAUAUGUGAUAGUACCGCACAUGUUAGGUGUCCCCUAUGUAGAUAGUAGCCCCUGAGACUCUGGUUGUCAUCGAGAAUGGCGGCGAAUAGAGGAUCAUAGUCCUAGGCAAUAACCAGACUGCCCGUAUGUGCAGGUGGUGGAAGCUCCGGUGGCUAGCCGGACUAGUGAGUUUGCCAAAUUAAAACGGCAACUGGAUGCGGCAGAUGCCGACAUCGAGCUUGUUAGCAAGAGGCUUGACGAGGCACAGGGUAAGUGUUAUUAUCUGGUGAACGCCACAUAGUAAGAGCAGCAUGAUGCCAGUAUCUUUAAUAUGUUGUGACUGCAGAUGGAGCUGCCACCAUGGAAACCUUGCGGGCAGAACUUGCCCGAGCCAAGGAACAAGCAGGGAUUAGUAAUGCGGCUGCUUUGAAGGCGGCCGAAGAGUUGAAAGCCGAGAAGGCCACACAUUGCGAGAGCCAAGAGAAGAUGGCCAAGAUGGCCAUAGAAUUAAAAGACACUGCCGACCGUUGCCGGCUCCUUGAAAAAGAAAACCGAGCAAAGGCAACGGACCUUGAGAAGGCCACGAUGGCGGACAAAGGCACCCGCUCUGCUAUGAGAGCGAAGAAGGAGGAGCUGUGGGAAGCCGGGGAUAUUGCGGCUGGGAAGCCCUUCAUGCUACGGAGGAAGUUCGGAGAUUCACGGUAUGCCCCUCUGGAUCGGCUGUGGAGUUCAGCAGAUGCGUAUAUGGACUUGGCGGCGAGCGCUGCCGAUGCGGCCAAAUACUUCCAAGGUCAAACGGAUCAUGAAGUGGACAAGCUGUUCUGGUUGCAAUUCAACGUUCCAGAGCGUCCGCUUCCAUUGACUGAUCAGCUAGCCGAAUGGGCCGAACUAAAUAGGUUGUCUGGACUCGCCAUGAGGUCUCUCGUGGAUCUGCUAUGGCCGGAAAAGCCAAAGACGAAUAGCUAUUUCAGUUUAGUGCAGCGGUUCCUUGGUGCGGUGCCGCGCAUUAAUGCGAUGAAGAGGUCAGCGUGCAUAGAAGGCUCGCGGAUGGCCCUUGCCCAUGUUAAAGCAUACUGGGCGGAGAUGGACACUACCACUGUUGCGGCGCAGGGUUCGGCCAUAGGCCGAGUGGCUGCCGAGCACUUUUUUGAGGAGGUUCUCGAGGGUGCUCGUUUGAUAGAGGCCCAGUGCUCGAAGAAUAUUAUGUUUGAGUUAUAUGUAUUCUCAUUGUAAACAUAGUGCUUUUAUGAAAUUAUAUAAGGCUAUGUUUAUACUUUUGCCUGAAAGUAGUAUGAUGCCUCAUGUGCGGCCGUUUAUGUAUACAUGUGUAUAACCUGAAAGAUUGCAGCCGUCGGCUUCAACCCCCACGCAUAUAAUGCGGAGGUGCUCGCGAAAAACGCGUGUUCACACUUAACCCAACGUCUUGGUCCUAUUAAGGAGGUGAUAGCGUAGCGAACGAGGCAACCGGACUAUAAUGCUUUAACACUUUCACUUAGCCAUAGGAGUUUGACAGUGGGGCUACUAGAUAGCCCCUGGUGGCUCCGCACUCUCCCGAUCUCGGGGUGCGUACAUGCCUGGCCGGAAAACGGCCCUUCGUUAAGGCAGAGAAAUUCUAACAUUCUGAUAGGUCAUCAAGUGGUUGACCAGUCUCACACUAUAUCAUGAUAGUCAGUUUUCGGCUUUCUCUACUGAGGUGCUCGUCCGGAUGAACCAGGGCACAAUCGCAGUAGUUCUCCUGGUGCUGCCUUAGCCGAUAAAGUGGAACGUAAGGCACCAAAACACAGGAGCCGGGCAAACCCAACAUUUGACCAAAGACAAUGAUUCGGAGCUGAUGCAUAUAAGGCCAAACUCGUGACGCCGAACACUCCCUAAGGUAUUCGGUCUUUAUGGUAUAAACCGGGCCUAAAUAGUGCCCUUUGUAAGAAGCCCCUUGUGUCCAGGUACGUGCAUUAUUCUAACGUGGCCACAUGCCAAGACGUCAGCAUCCUUCUCAAUUGUGCUGAGAAUUCGGUGGAUGUGUAUCAACAAGAGACAGUAAAAAAGGUUUACGCAGGGCCUUGAUCUAAAAAGAAUCCUUGGAACGGGUCACUGCUGCACGUCUGCGCCUGUGUCUCCGUUGUGUCGUGUCCUGGACGGGUGUAGCACGAUGGUCAUCUGUAAAAGAGAGGAAUUUAGGUGAAAAAGUUGUCGUGCAGAGAGAUAGUUUUUAAAGAAACCAUGUAUAACUAGAAAUGAGUAUAAAUUGCCACUUGUCUGCGCGUGUUGGGCCCCUUGUAUUUGUAAUAGGGGUGUGGCCAUCAAUCCGGUAUAAAUUACAUAUAGCAGCGUCGGACUCGUCUAACCGCGUCCGUGGUCUUGACGACCUAUCAAAUACUUUAGUUGGCGAGGCCGUUUUUAGUGUGCGGCUGCCAAGGCAGUCGCAUUCUCUUCGGCGCGCAAGGAUCGCUUAAUACUUCCGUUCACUGUAAUGAUGUCGCGUGGACCAGGCAUCUUGAGCGUCAGGGAAGUGUAAUGUGGUAUUGCAUUAAAGCGAGCAAAAGCUUCGCGUCCAAGUAGUGCUUGAUAGCCACUUUGGAAUGGAGCGAUGUGGAAGGUUAAAUGUUCGCUACGGAAGUUAUCGGGGAAGCCGAAUAUAACCUUUAGUAGCAGGGAGCCCGUGCAAUGAGCCCCUGGGCCUGGUGUUACUCCUUUAAAGGUAGUAUUGCUAUGGCAAAUUUUCGUUGGGUCUAUCCCCAUUUCGCGGAUUGUAUCCUGGUAUAUCAGGUUGAGACUGCUGCCACCGUCCAUCAGGACUCGUGUGAAGUGGUAUCCGUCAAUUAUUGGGUCUAAUACCAGGGCAGCCCAUCCUGCACGCCGGAUACUUGCUGAGUAAUCACGAUGGUCGAAAGUGAUCGGUUGAGACGACCAGUGGCAGGACUCCACGGUGAUAGGCCCUUGGGCAUAUUUUUCUGAGAGUGCCGUCUUGUUUCUCCCCUUGAUCACGUGUAACACGUUUACUGUUUUGACUUCUGGUGGAAAUUUCUUUCGUUCCCCAGUGUCUUGCUUGAGAGGCUCAUCCUCGUCUUCGCUUGGUGUAUCCUCCCCCUUGUGUAUGGCAUUGAGCUUGCCGGACUGCUUGAAGACCCAACAUUUUCUGUGGGUAUGAUUAGCGGGUUUACCAGGGGUGCUAUGGAUCUGACAUAUUUGGUCCAGAAUUUUGUUUAGGCUAGACAGUUCGUCUCUGGCGCCUUUAGAGGGCGGCUUUUGCUGACCUGGCCGAGAGCUUUUGAAUCCGGCGUUUACUACCAUGCUCUUCAUGAUGUAUUCUUUAUUCCGGCAUUUGUUAUUGCUGUUGCGCCGUGAUUUCCCGUUUCCAUCUCUAACUUCGGAUGUACUGGGGUCGCUGGUGCUGCAUCUGGCUAGCUAGCUAUCCUCACCCGUGCAAAAGCGGGUCAUGAGGCUUGUUAAUGCUGCCAUUGUUCUCGGCUUUUCUUGGCCGAGGUGUCUGGCAAGCCAUUCAUCACGGACGCUAUGCUUAAAAGCUGCCAAGGCUUCGGCGUCCGGAUAGUCGACAAUUUGGUUCUUUUUAGUAAGAAACCUGUUCCAAAGCUUUCGGGCUGACUCUCCAAGCUGUUGAGUUAUAUGACUCAAAUCAUCCGCGUCCGGAGGUCGGACAUAAGUCCCUUGAAAAUUUGCCCGAAAGGCGUCUUCGAGCUCUUCCCAACUUCCAAUGGAGCUUUUGGGGAGGCUCUUAAGCCAGUGCCGAGCUGGCCCUUUGAGUUUGAGGGGUAAAUACUUAAUGGCGUGGAGAUCAUCUCCCCGAGCCAUGUGGAUAUGGAGGAUAUAGUCCUCAAUACAGACUCCAGGGUCUGUUGUUCCAUCGUAUGCCUCUAUGUUUACGGGUUUGAAUCCCUCUGGAAAUCCGUGGUCCAGCACCUCAUUGGUGAAACAUAGGGGGUGUGCGGCACCCCUAUAUCUGGGUGUACCGCGUUGUUCGGAUGUUUGUUGUGUUGCAUCGUAUGCUGGAGCACGCUUGCGUGUUCCAUAGAUGGAUCUGGUUUCACCCUCCUUUUGAUGCGAGCCCUCGCGUAGACCGCGUAUUGGCUUAUGUGCGGCGUUGCUUGCCGCUUUAUGUUGGCCAUGAGGUCGUCUAUCCGGCCAGAUGGCUGUUUUAAUUUUUGGUUGUGGGGGGUCUGAGGCCUCCUCAUCGAAUUCAGGUAGCAACUUCCGCUUUGGGUAGCUCUUGGUGGGGCGAUUGCCACUGUACUUCGCUGUUGUGUUGAGUACUUUACUCCAUCUGAUUUGGAGUGUGUCCUGCGCAGCCUUGAGCCUUUGCUUCUGCUUUUUCAGACUCCUCGCGGUGGCAACAAGCCUUUGACGGGCAUUCUGCUGCUCCGGGUGCCUGUCCGGCGUUAUGUUGUCCGGACUAUUAUCUUUGACAGAAUUGAUUUGUUUGGUUUGAUUCUCCGUAUUGCCGUGGUCCGGCGGUGGUUCGCCCUGCUCCAACGCUGGGUCUGUAUGAUCGUUAUUUCUGCCGAGGCGGGAUUUGGGGUGGCGCUUGCGCCGCCGCUUUGACUGCUUCUCGAGAGAACAAGCCUUCGUUGCGUCCUUCCGUUCCUCGUCGUCGUCUUGUUUUGGUGUGUCCAUCAUGUAUACAGUCAUAUGAUGAGGUGGACGUCCAGCGCCCUAUGGGCGGUGGUUCCUCUUCGCCUUCCGCAUCGUCGUCCAUACCAUCGAUGUCUUUAGAGUCGAAGUCGAGCAUGUCAGUUGAGUCAUCGACAGUGGCUAUUAAGUGGGUGGUGGGUGGGCAUCGAAUUUCUUCGUCGUCCGCAUCCCAAUCAUGUUGGCCAUAAUCCGGCCAGGGCUCUCCUGACAAAGAGAGAGACCUUAGUGAAUUCAGAAUGUCGCCGAAGGGCGAGUGCUGAAAGAUAUCCGCGGCGGUGAAUUCCAUGAUUGGCGCCCAAUCGGAUUCGAUUGACAGGGGCGCGGAUGGUUCGAAGUCCGAAAAAGAGUCCGGCACCUUGGAGUCAUGGGCUGCGCAGAGGGUUAGGCUGGUGUUCGGCUCGAUCGCCGUUGAGACUGCAGCCCCUAAGGCGGUGUCUAACCACCUAUCCUUGAUUGGCGCAGUUGGCUCCGAGCUAAGGGUCGGAGCUGAUGCGGGCGCGGCCUUUGGGGUACUGUCCGGCGGCAGAGCUAGGUCAUACCCAUCGUGACAGUGCGGCGCGCCCGGCUGUGGCUCGAAUCCGUCGAAGAUCAAGUCUCCGCGGAUGUCGGCCGUGUAGUUCAAACUUCCAAAUCUGACCUGAUGGCCAGGGGCGUAGCUUUCAAUCUGCUCUAGAUGGCCAAGCGAAUUAGCCCGCAGUGCAAAGCCGCCGAAUACGAAGAUCUGUCCGAGGAGAAAAGUCUCACCCUGGACCACAUCGUUAUCGAUGAUAGUAGGAGCCAUCAAGCCUAACGGCGACGACACAGAGGAACUCUCAAUGAAAGCACCAAUGUCGGUGUCAAAACCGGCAGAUCUCGGGUAGGGGGUCCCGAACUGUGCGUCUAGGCCGGAUGGUAACAGGAGGCAGGGGACACAAUGUUUUGCCCAGGUUCGGGCCCUCUUGAUGGAGGUAAAACCCUACGUCAUGCUUGAUUGAUAUUGAUGAUAUGGGUAGUGCAAGAGUAGAUCUACCACGAGAUCAGAGAGGCUAAACCCUAGAAGCUAGCCUAUGGUAUGAUUGUAUGUUGUGAUUGUUGUCCUACAGACUAAAACCCUUCGGUUUAUAUAGACACCGGAGAGGGUUAGGGUUACACAAGGUCGGUUACAAAGGAGGAGAUAUCCAUAUCCGUAUUGCCUAGCUUGCCUUCCACGCCAAGUAGAGUCCCAUCCGGACAUGAGAUGAAGUCUUCAAUCUUGUAUCUUCAUAGUUCAACAGUCCGGCCAAUGGAGAUGGUCCGGCUGUCCAAAGAGCCCCUAAUCUAGGACUCCCUCACCCGUUGAUUGCUUGCUUCAAUUGGUACCUUUUGAUUGCUUGAUUGCUUGUGUCUCUCUUUGUUAUGUCCUUGUGGCAUAUCAUUCCUUUAGCAAUCUUGGUGCCUCAAUAUAGUUGGUCUUCCUCCAAGUAUUACCGUUGGAUAUGUGUAUUGCAUUCCACUCUCUUGUUGAGAAAUACACAACUUAUGGAGGAACACAAUUUAUAUUGGCCUUCUAAGCUUUUCGCCCAUUUUGGCAAUCGAUGCCAAUGGGGGAGAAGUUUCAGAGAGUUUUGUGGAUAAGUUUAGAGAGUUUUUUCUUCUUACUUUGGUUUUGUACCUAAGCAUUUGCAUCUCAUACACAUGCAUUAUUGGUUGUUGCAUUGCAUGGUGAUAAAUAAUUCCUUAUAUAAACUCUCUUGAAAGUGAUUGUCAUCAAUUACCAAAAAUGGGGGAGAUUGAAAGGACAUGUGGUGCCCCCAUGUGUGGUUUUGGUAAUUGAUGACAAUCUCUAUGGACUAACGGUUGCCUUGAGUUAUAUUUGAAGGAUUUGUCCAUAGGAUUGUCUUGAAGUCCAUGUGUUGGUUUCAAGGAGUUUAUGAGAUGGACAAAGUGCUUUUCAAGGAAUUAUCCAAAGAUUGGUCAUGUGUGAGUUGAGAUGGCCAAAGUGCUUUUCAAGGAAUUAUCCAAAGAUUGGUCAUGUGUGAGUUGAGCUUAUUGCAAGCAUGUCUUGAAGAAGAAUAUUGUGUGAUCAUUCAUGUUUACCUUCAAGACAUCAUCCAAAUGAAGAGAGUUGGAAAGAUUCAAUGUUGAUCAAGACUAAGUCAAGAGUGAAUCAAGUUGAUCAACUCACAAAGCGUAGAAGAAGUACCGAGAGGGAUCAAGUGAUCCCAUGGUAUGGUAAGCAUUGUCCAUUAUGCUUUGUGUACUAACCCAUGGUCUACGUGAGAGUUCUUUGUGGGGUUAGGUGUGUUUCCAUGGUCUUGCGUCAAGAGGAAGAUCUCAUACAACCCAUGGAGGAUGACAUCAAGUGGUGAUCGUCAUCAAGUUUGCAGUAUGCAAGUUCAAGUGGAGCAACUCGAAGAGUGGCUCACCCAUAAUGGAGUAUGGGGGAGCAAUCAAGCUUGAAGCUUGCCGUCCAUUGUGGUGUCAAUGGAAUUGUGAAGAUGUGCCAAAGAGUGGCUCACCCAUAGUGGAGUAUGGGGGAGCAAUCAACUAGUCUUCAUCGAGCCAACACAAUCAAGAAAGGUGGUCCAAUUUGAGGAAGUCAAGAUCGUCAUCAUCUAGCUCAAGUGGACUAUGUGCAAGGCAAAGGUUUGCCCUUGAUAGGUUUUCUAUUUUACCGGUCUCAUAGUGGUAGUUGGGAGGUCGGGUUGUAGGAUCGAUUGCCGUACUAUCAAGGGGGGCUAUCUAGGGAGUGGCUUGAUCGUAUCAUUCGUCGAGAGCUCAAACCAUUGCAUCCUUGCAUCAUCUUUCUUGGUUCUUGUUUGGUUCCAUUUGUGAGUCUUAGAGCUUAUGGUCAUCUUGAUGGCAAGCUUGAGUUCAUCGAAAACGGAGUUCGCAUGCAUCUUCCAUGAUGUUUUCGGUGUUGGAGGUUUUACCGGUCUUAUCCGAGGAAGGGUUCUCACCUUUUUCUUAUGGGCCUUUUAUUAUUUGCUUCUUAUUGUUUUUUCUAUCAAGAUUGUGUUAGCCCUUGUCGCUAACUUUCCAACAAACUUGAUUUCGUCGAAUUCGAAGCUCGUAUGCGAAAGUUGUGGCUGUUUUGAUAUUGCAUGUUUUACACAGAGAGGUUGUACCGCCCCAUGGAGAGGUUGUACCGCUUGACCGGUACAACCGGUGUUUGGAGUGGUUGUACCGCUCCAGAAUUGGUCCGGAGGUUGUACCGGUCAUGUACCGCUCUACCACCGGACUGGUCUCUGUUGUGGUGCAGUUGUUGGGCGGUUGUGGGCCGGUUGUACCGCUUAUUGCCUGUUACCGGUUGUACCGGUGCUCCUAGAGGUUGUACCGCUCCUAUGUUAUUCUGUACAUAACGGGCAGAUUCGUGGGGACCUAUUUAAGGGGGUCUUCUUCCCCAAUGGUUCCCUAUCUCUUGAGCUCGUUUUUGCCCCCAUUGUUGACCUUCUUUGAGCUUGCUAACUCUCAAUCCCUACAUGGAUUCUUGCUAGUUUUUGAGGGAAAAGAGAGAGGAGAUCUAGAUCCACAUUUCCACCAAUCACUUUCUCCUCUAUGUGAGGGGAACCCCUUGGAUCUAGAUCUUGGAGUUCUUGGUGUUCUCCUUCUUGUUCUUCCUCUCAUUUUCCUCCCCAGCAUUAGUUGCUUUGGUGGGAUUUGGGAGAGAAGGACUUGGGCACUUCGUGUUCCCUUGCCAUUGCAUUUGGUGCAUCGGUUUGAGUUCUCCACGGUGAUACGUGGAAGUGAAGUUUGAGAAGCUUAUUACUCUUGGGUGUUUGGGCACCCUAGAGCUUGUUCCUCUUGGGUGCCUUGGCGCCCUAGACGGUUGGUGUUGUUCGGAGCUCAAUCAUUGUGGUGUAAAGCUUCGGGCAAGCGUCGGGGUCUCCAAUUAGGUUGUGGAGAUCGCCCCGAGCAAUUUGACGGAUACGGGUGACCGCCCCCAAGGGUUGCCAAAGUGUACGGGUUCGGUGACCGCCCCCAAGGGUCGCCAUUUGUACGGGUUCGAUGACCGCCCUCAAGGGUCCCUUAGUGGAAUCACGACAUCUUGCAUUGUGCGAGGGCGUGAGGAGAUUACGGUGGCCCUAGUGGCUUCUUGGGGAGCAUUGUGCCUCCACACCGCUCCAAACGGAGAUUAGCAUCCGCAAGGGUGUGAACUUCGGGAUACAUCGUCGUCUCCGCGUGCCUCGGUUAUCUCUUACCCGAGCUCUUUACUUAUGCACUUUACUUUGUGAUAGCCAUAUUGUUUCUUGUCAUAUAUCUUGCUAUCACAUAUUUGAUAUCUUGCUUAGCAUAAGUUGUUGGUGCACAUAGGUGAGCCUAGUUGUUUUAGGUUUUGUGCUUGACAAAUUAACCGCUAGGUUUAUUUCGCAUUUGUUCAAGCCUAAAUCGUAAUCAUUUUAAAAUGCCUAUUCACCCCCCUCCCCCCCCCCCUCUAGGCGACAUCCACGAUCUUUCAGCUGGCCCAGCGGCUCGGCCGCGCGCAGGCUGUCGAUGCAGGAGGCGUAUUCUCGUGAAUACGCCUUCCUUUGGCGAAGGCGGUAACUGGCGGAGCCCGCCUCCACUUAAACGGGGUGGGGCCCUCCCGUUAGUGGCUCAGCCACGCUGGCUGGCCGACAGGCGGGGCCCGCUGGCAGGUUUGUCCUCGACCUCCUGCGCGGGUGCGGCAGGAGACAGAGGAGGCGCCCGACGCCGGUCACCGGCGCUACAGGGCGUCUUCGGCGAUGUUCUGCCUGCCGACGUGCUCAGGAGACCCGACCGCGUCUAACCAUGGGUGGCAUGGUCGCCUAGGGGCACCGGGUGGAGCAGGGUGCUGGCCGCGGCGGACGGGACCGGCGGUGAGAUCUAGUCACGGUGAGGAAGGCAUGGGGAGGAAGGACUGAUGUGCGGGGAGAGUUGGUGGUGGUGUUGGUGCUGCUCUGGAACAAAGAGGUCGGGAGGAGGGGCUCUCAGUGCCGCGAAUUUAGGCGGAGGCCGGCGGCAUUGCUCCGGCCAUGGAGAUGCAAGGAGGGCACGAGGAGGGGAGUGGGUUUGAGAGAGUCAAAGGAGUAGAGAGGGGGCUCGGGGCGGCCUUAAGUGGUCGGCCCGUGGCUCAUCGUGGACGCGGCGCACGGGUGGCCGUGGCAACGGCUCGAGCGGCAAGGGAGAGAGAGCGAGGGGUUUUCUGCGGUGCUCGUGGGGGUGGAGUUGGGCACCAGGAAGAGAGAGAGGGUGCGGGGCGAGCUGCACGCAGCCACCGGAGCUGCGCGAGCAUUGGCCGAGCCAGGCGGCUCUGGCACGUGCCGCGGGAGGUGAGAGAGAGGGGGGAGGAGGGGGCCUGCACGGCUGUCGUGUUGCGGACGUCGAGGACCUCGAGUGGCGCGAGGGGAGGCUCAAGGUGGUCGGGGGACGCGGCGUCAAUGGUCGGGAGCACGAUGUCAUGCUCCAGAGCGUGUCUUUGGCCGGCGUCCGCGGCUUUUCCGCGUGCACUCGCGUGUCCACUUGUGUCUAGUGGCUGCAGGGGGAGUAAACAAAGUGGAAAUGUCAUUGGAUGCCUCGGGGAGCCAGUAGAAGAGAGGAGGGGUAGAGAGAGUGGGAAUGAUGAUGUCCAGAGAAGAAAAAUGGGUCUCUGCCCCCCUUAAUCAUUGUCCCUUGGGCUGGAAAGCUUGUGGGAGGUUAAGAGGGACUAGAUUAGGGUGUGGGUGGAGUUUCAACUCAUGGAGAUUAGUGGAAGGGGCUGAAACAUGGAGUUUUAAAUUUUGUCAGAAGGUGUUUGAUGGUGGUUUGGGAAAGCAAAUGCAUUCUCCUUGCCAUCAUAUUUAACAGGAGUGAGUGGCAUCACAUAACAGUAGUGACCACCAAUUUUGAGGUCAAGUGGAGAAAGUGGCCAAUGCAACUUUUGUAAACCCUAGAAACCAACAAAAAUGACUUUUCCAAGAUUUAGUCAUGCAAAUCUAUUCUCCUUGAUGCACCACUUUGUGUAGUCUCAUCAUUUGAGGAUUUAAACAUGUCCACAAAAAUUCAGAUCGAAAGGACACACUUGGCAAUGUAGAGUUGUUCAAAUUUGCUUCUGGACAGAAAGGGUUUUAGAACACUUUGAUCAUGAUAUCCUUCUCUCCAAAUUGAGCCAUUUUGCCUAGAUGCAUUAUUACACCAUUUGAGCAUGCGCACCAAGUUUGAGAGCAUUUGGACAUGUUUGGCAGUGCAAAGUUGUUCAAACUUGAAACAGGACAAAAAUGGUUUUGAGAGGGUUUGGUGGGGCUAUAUUGUUCUCCAUGACAUGAGACUUUGUAGUAUCCUCAAGUAGGUCAUUUUGUACAUGAUAGAAUUUUCCUGUACUUAAUGGAGAAUAUUUUCUUUGUAAACAUUUCAAAAGCUUGAAAUGACCAGAAAUAGUUUUUGAGGGAUUUGACCAAUAAUUUGAACAUGACCAUGUGUUGAAACUCUUAUAUAUGGUCAAUAUAUGUCCACUGAGCUUUCCUAAAUUUUCUCAAAUAUUUUUUAAAUAUUAAAAUAAUUUAAACCUAUUAAAGACCAUUUCUGGCCUUAAGAAAAAGCCUUUAAAUAAAAUAGGAAAAUAACUUUUAAAAUUAUAUUUUUGUGGUUUAUGGGAGUCCUAUACCUAAUAGGUUCCAAAUAUACUUUUUGAAAGACUUUUCACACCCUUAAUUAAGUACUUGUGGUUCAAGUCUCAAUUCAGGGGUUUUUGGAAAACCUAAUUUAGAAAAUUCUUUUUGGCCAAAUAUUUUUGCAAGAAAUUGUUUUUGUGUCCUACACACAUGGCAUGAUCAUUGGGCAAGGUUUUGGAUCAAGGAGAAGGAGUAUAAGAGUUGGAGGAUUUAUUUGGUUUUUAGAGCACUUGCAACCAACACACAAAAAUCAAAUCAAACAAAGACCAAAACACUCAAAAGUUUUUGUCUAACCACAUUUUAUCAUGAUUGAUUAGCUUAAGUGUUGUGGCAUGAAAAUCAGGGUGUGACAGAGUGAACAUAGGUUCAAAUGAAAUGAAUGUAGAAGAUAAAACCCAUUGAUGCUCGCACUUGUAGAAGUGCUUCCCUGGAUUGAGCACUGUUUGAGAGACCCACCAUUGAUCAUGCCCUUGUUGCAAUGGAGGCACACCAUUAGUGGGAGUGGAGCUUGGUCCUCCAGGUCGACUAGGGGAGAAGAUUGAAGUUCAAAUGGAUUCGAGAAGUUGUGUAAUGGUAUAUCAUGAGAGAGUUUGGAGGAUUCUAGAGGGGGUAGGUGGGGAAGAACAACUAUCCCGGGGUGACCAAGGUAUGGAGAAAAGGAGUAUGCGGGAGGAUGAGGACCGGGGUUCAUUGAAUUGAUCCUUUGGUUUUGGACGUUGGUAGUUUGGGAUGAGCUAGGCUGGAUAAUUUGUCUCGGUAUGGGAACACGUGGUUAUAUGUCCUAUUAUACUGAAGUGAUGGAAAUCAAUAUUCAACGGAUACAUAUGACUCUAAUAUAUUGGAUGGAAUCCCGAGGUGUCGUGUGCUCGAACGCAUUUUUGGAUUCUAUAGCGCCUAAAUACUGUAUCCUCAUUACUGUAGCGAUCAUGUUUAGAGCAAAAUAUGAAAUCAUUUUUUGGAAAACCCUGAACAUUUUCUGAAUUCUGAUUCUUUUAAAGAAUAAACAGGAAAUGAUUGGAGUUGCAAACAUCAUUUAAAAAUUCAAACAUUUCCAAGUAUUUUUGUAUUUUCAAAAAAAUGAAAAUACAGAUUUUGCAAUUGUAAAUAUUACGUAAAAAUACAAUCUUUUUUUAAAGUCAAACUAUUUUUCAAAAUUUGAGAAUAUUUAGUAAAAAACACAGACAAGUUUUCAAAUUCAUAUUUUGUUUGUGAAAACUACGAUAAAAAACCCAAAAAAUAAAAGAAAAAAAGGAGCGGAAAAACUAGUGAAUAAAACAUAGUCGUAAAAACACGUAAAGAAAGCAAGGAGGAAAAACGGUUCCUAGCUACUUGAACGGCCCAGUGUGGUUCGGUCAAUGCCUCGCCUGUGCGAAGCAGCGGCAUUUUGCCACGGUGAGCGGCAAAUAGGUAUGGCCGCGUCGCCUGAAGGAACGACCCUAGUGAGCGCACCCAGUAUCGAGAGUAACUAGUUAACGAGCGCUUCUUCGGGGGCUUCACAACGAUCAGCGUCAUUUGGCGUGCUCUCGGCCAUUCGUCACGUGUCGCCCUCUGGAUGCUCCCUUCAGAUUGUGUUUUUUUAUUUUUUCAAAUGUGUUUUUGGCUUUUUAAAUGGUUUUUUGGGGUUUUUUUCGAUGUUUUGAUUUUCCACCGGUCUUCUUUAGGAUUUCGAUAUUUAAAAAAAUGCACGAAAAAAUGCGUUUUCUUUUUUUUUCUUUCGCGAGAGUUACGGUUUUGCUUCCGCGAGAGGCACGGUUUUGCUUUCGCAAGAGUCAUCUCCGUGCCUCUCAAAAACAAAAAAAAAUGCAUUUUCUGCGCUUUUUUCCUUUUGCGAGAGCCACGGUUGUGCUUCCUCAAGAGGCACGGGUGUGCUUCGCGAGAGUCACGGCCGUGCCUCUCGGAAAGGAAAAAAACAUGUUUUCUGUUUUUUUUCCUUUCACGAGAGUCACGGUUAUGUUUCCGCGAGAGGCACGGUUGUGCUUUAGCGAGAGUCACGGUCGUGUCUCUCGGAAACGAAAAAAAACAUGUUUUCUAAUUUUUUUUCUUUGCGAGUCAUGGUUUUGCUUCCACGAGAGGCAUGGUUGUGCUUUCACGAGUCACGCCCUUGCCUCUCGGAAACGAAAUAAAAACAUGUUUUCUGUUUUUUUUUCCUUUCGCGAGAGUCACGAUUUUGUUUCCGCGAGAGGCACGAUUGUGUUUUCGCGAGAGUCAUGGCCGUGCCUCCUCGGAAACGGGAAAAAACGCGUUUUCUCUUUUUAUUUUCUUCCGCGAGAGUCACGGUUUUGUUUCCGCGAGAGGCACGGCUGUGAUUUCGUGAGAGAUACGGGUGUGCCUCUUUCGGAAAGGGAAAAACCCGUGCUCCCAGUUCAAUUUUUUUCGUCCGGCUUUUUUCGUGAAAAAAAGUUCGUCAAAACCUAUCAACAUGGGAUCUAGUUUUGAAGAUGUCAACAUGAGGAAUCCAACGGUGAAAGUGGUUCGAGAUUUGAACGCACGGUUUAAGAGAUAAAAUGUUUUGAAUAAACGGAUCUACGAAAAGAGGGAAAACUAUGACAGGUGGCACGUUGCAUGUGCGCCACUUGUCGCAAUCAGGGGAGUUGAAGUGAUCUUUGCAACAAGUACUCUUCAACUAGUGAUUUCGCCCAGUAUCUAGUUUGUUUCUUUCUUCACUCGGUUUCGUUUUAUUUUUCAUUUUCUUGUUUAUAAUUUCAUUUAUAUUUUCGUAACAUUCUAAAAACAUAUAUUUCAGAAACAUUGCAUGUGACAAUUAAAAAACAUAUAGUUAAAAAACGUUCGUGACGUUUUGUAAAAAUGUUUGUAACAAAUGUAAAAAAUGUCCGCAUAAUUUAAUCAAUUUUUAUUGCCAUAAAUAAAUCACCGUGUAUCUGAAAAAUGUUCAAAAGAUGUAUUUAAGAAAACUGCUCUUUUUCGAAACAAGGGAGAGGGGUGGAGUGCUGCGGUUCUUCACAAGCACAAUGGCUUAUUCCAAGCAAGGCCUGCCAUUUGUUUCCCCAACAUCUCUAAUCCUUAACAUGCUGACCCGUUGGCAUGUCAGCGAGGCCUACAAUUGUCUGCAGAAGUUGGGGAGGAGAGAAUCAUACUGGAGACAGACAACCAACUGGUGGCUAAAGUUCUCGUAUCACUAGAGGUCGACCGUUCGAGAUAUGGUCCUCUCAUCAAAGAAAUUAAGGUUCUACUCGGCGGUGCCGUGGAGUGGAAGAUGGUUUGGGCUAGACAUACAGCUAACAAGGCUGCUCAUUUACUUGCGAGGGAUGACUGACUAAUUAAGUUAUGUAUAAGACUUGGCUUAAUGUUGCCCUGUUGUGUUGUGUAUCAGUGACCCCGCCGAAGAGUUUGCCCCUCAAAAAAGGAGUAAAAAGAAAAAUAUACUUUGUGUAUUUGGGAGAUGUUGGAUGACCCACAAGUAUAGAGAAUCUAUCGUAGUUCUUUUGAUAAGUAAGAUUGUCGAACCUAAUAAGGAGCAGAAGAAAAUGACAAGUGGUUUUCAAUACGAUAUUCUCUGCAAGCACUGAAAUUAUCGGUAACAGAUAGUUUUGUGAUAAAAUAAUUCGUAACGGGUAAUAAGUAAAUAAAGUAACUAAGGUGCGGCAAGGUGGCCUAAUCCUUUUUUUAGCAGAGGAAAAGCCUGGACAAACUCUUAUAUAAAGCAAAGCGCUCCCGAAAACACAUGUGAAUUAUUGUCAACUUAGCUUUCAUCAUGCUCAUUGAUUUGCGUUAGUUACUUUGAUAUUUCGAUAUGUGGGUGGACCGGUGCUUGGGUCCUUCCCUUCCUUGGACAAGCCUCCCACUUAUGAUUAACUCCUCUCGCAAGCAUCCGCAAUUAUGAAAGAAGAAUUAAGGUAAACCUAACCAUAAAAUGAAACAUAUGGGUCCAAAUCAGCCCCUUACGAAGCAACACAUAAACUAGGGUUUAAGCUUAUGUCACUCUAACAACCCAUCAUCUACUUAUUACUUUCCAAUGUGUGACGCCCCCGAUUCAAUCGUACACUAAUCAUGCACGCAAACGUGUACGAUCAAGAUCAGGGACUCACGGGAAGAUAUCACAACACAACUCUAAAACAUAAAUAAGUCAUACAAGCAUCAUAAUACAAGCCAGGGGCCUCGAGGGCUCGAAUACAAGUGCUCGAUCAUAGACGAGUCAGCGGAAGCAACAAUAUCUGAGUACAGACAUAAGUUAAACAAGUUUGCCUUAAGAAGGCUAGCACAAACUGGGAUACAGAUCGAAAGAGGCGCAGGCCUCCUGCCUGGGAUCCUCCUAACUACUCCUGGUCGUCGUCAGCGGCCUGCACGUAGUAGGCACCUCCAGUAUACUAGUCGUCGUCGACGGUGGCGUCUGGCUCCUGGACUCCAGCAUCUGGUUGCGACAACCAGAAAGAAGGGAAAGGGGAAAAAGGGGGGAGAAAGCAACCGUGAGUACUCAUCCAAAGUACUCGCAAGCAAGGAACUACACUACAUAUGCAUGGGUAUAUGUGUAAGGAGGCCAUAUCAGUGGACUGAACUGCAGAAUGCCAGAAUAAGAGGGGGAUAGCUAAUCCUGUCGAAGACUACGCUUCUGGCAGCCUCCGUCUUGCAGCAUGUAGAAGAGAGUAGAUUGAAGUCCUCCAAGUAGCAUCUCCAAGUAGCAUAUCCAGGUAGCAUCUCCAAGCGCAUCUCCAGUCGCAUCGCAUAGCAUAAUCCUACCCGGCGAUCCUCUCCUCGUCGCCCUGUAGAAAAGCGAUCACCGGGUUGUCUGUGGAACUUGGAAGGGUGUGUUUUAUUAAGUAUCCGGUUCUAGUUGUCAUAAGGUCAAGGUACAACUCCAAGUCGUCCUGUUACCGAAGAUCACGGCUAUUCGAAUAGAUUAACUUCCCUGCAGGGGUGCACCACAUAGCCCAACACGCUCGAUCCCAUUUGGCCGGACACACUUUCCUGGGUCAUGCCCGGCCUCGGAAGAUCAACACGUCGCAGCCCCACCUAGGCAAAACAGAGAGGCCAGCACGCCGGUCUAAACCUAAGCGCACAGGGGUCUGGGCCCAUCGCCCAUAGCACACCUGCACGUUGCGAGGGCGGCCGGAAGCAGAACUAGCCCCCUUAAUACAAGAGCAGGCUUACGUUCCAAUCCGGCGCGCGCCGCUCCGUCGCUGACGUCUGAAGUGCUUCGGCUGAUACCACGACGCCGGGAUACCCAUAACUACUCCCGCGUAGAUGGUUAGUGUGUAUAGGCCAGUAGCCAGACUCAGAUCAAAUACCAAGAUCUCGUUAAGCGUGUUAAGUAUCCGCGAAUGCCGAACAAGGCCAGGCCCACCUGUCUCCUAGGUGGUCUCAACCUGCCCUGUCGCUCCGCCACAAAGUAACAGUCGGGGACCGUCGGGAACCCAGGCCCACCUCUACCGGGAUGGAGCCACCUGCCCCUUCAGCCCCCAUCUCCGAAUAGUAUCACAGGUAAUGUAACUGUGUAAAGUAUAUAGUAUAUGCCCGUGAUCACCUCCCGAAGUGAUCACGGCCCAGUAGUAUAGCAUGGCAGACGGACAAGAGUGUAGGGUCACUGCUGGAACACUAGCAUCCUAUACUAAGCAUUUAGGAUUGCGGGUAAGGUAUCAAUGACUGUAGCAGCAAUGACAGGCUAUGCAACAGAAUAGGAUUAACGGAAAGCAGUAACAUGCUACACUACUCUAAUGCAAGCAGUAUAGAAGAGAAUAGGCGAUAUCUGGUGAUCAAGGGGGGGGGGGGCUUGCCUGGUUGCUCUGGCAAGAGAGAGGGGUCGUCAACUCCGUAGUCGAUCACAGGGGUACCGGCAGCGGUCUCGGGGUCUACCGGAAAAAGUAUCGAAGGGGGGAACACAAUAAAUAACAGAGCAAUCAAAUGUAAUACAAAGCAAGACGCGGCAAUACGUUGUGCUAGGUGUGCCCUAACGCGGUAGGUGGUGAUACCGACGAAGGGGGGAAACAUCCGGGAAAGUAUCCCCGGUGUUUCGUGUUUUCGAGCACAGGAGCCGGAGGGGGAAAGUUGCGAGUUUGAUAGGUUAGGGAUGCGUGGCGGACGAACGGGCUGCGUUUCUGGGUUCGUCUCGUCGUUCUGAGCAACUUUCAUGUAGAAAGUAUUUUCAUCUGAGCUACGGUUUAUUUUCUAUUAAUUUUAAAAGAUUUAAAUCAUUUUCAGGAUUUAUUUAAUUAUUUUAAUGCAACAUUAUCCAGAAUAGUGCUUGCUGAUGUCAGCAUGAUGUCAUCAGUCAACAGAGGUGUUGACUGGGUCAAGCUGACGCGUGGGUCCCGCAUGUCAUUGACUAUUUUAGUUAAUUAAGUUAAUCAGUUAAUUAGGUUAAUUAAUCUUAAUUAGUUACUUUAAAAAGAAUUAAUUAAGUUAAUUAUUUAGUUAAUUAAUUAAUUAAUAUUUAAUUUUAUCUAUCUAUUUACUUAUUUAUUUAUUUAUUUUAAUUCUCUUUUUUUAAUAACGUUUCAGGGGGGUGGGGCCCGUUUGGCACUGGCACAGAGGCCUUAGCGGGGCGGGCGCUGGGUGCGGGUGCGUGGGCGCUUGCCCGGGAUUACAGGGGGCGCCAGCCAGGGGUGAGGCCACGACGACGGCCGGAGGGGCCGCAGCCACGGCGAGGUCGGCCGGGCUGCGAGCGGCGCCAGCGAGGCGACGGAGCGGUGGACGGGGCCGGCAGCGGGCCGGAGCGGCAGGGAAGAGCGGGAUGAGCGCCGUGCGGGGCCGCGGUCGUGGUCGGGGCGGCCAUGGCGACCGCGACGACGAGCGGGGGAAAGGGGAGGAUGAACGGGUCCUCACCAGCGGUGGUGAGCAGGGAGGCGUCGAGGCGCGUGGAGGCCGUUCGGGGAGGAGGACGGGGACGACGGCGUCGGAGACGAGGCAGGCCGUCGAGGGAGGAAGGCGGGGCCGGUCCAGCGGGGUGGCAUGGUCGAGGCGGCGUUCCGGCCGACGGCGGGGGAACGAGGUCGGUGUCGUCCGGCGAGGCAGCACCCGCGACGGCGUCGGCACCGCGGCGUUGAGGCGAGGAGGCGGACGGGGACGGCGCUCCGUCGAGGAGAGAGAUGAGGAGGCGAGGAGGCAGGCCGGCGUGGUGGCUCCGACGAGGUCGAAGCGGCGGCGGUGAUGGUGCUCCAGGGACGAUAGGCGACGCGGUCGGCGGGUCGAUGGAGUCGGGGCGGGUCGUUCCCCCGAUCCCGAUCUGGAUCGGGGAAGGGGAGAGAGAUGUGGGGAUCGUNNNNNNNNNNNNNNNNNNNNNNNNNNNNNNNNNNNGAUUUGCAUUCCUUUUCUUAUUUUCUUUUCUGUUUUAUUUAUUUUAGUUAGCAAAACAGCUUUACAAAAAUAUAACCCCUACUCCUAAAUUAGCAUAAUAACAUAGGCCACCUACUCCAAAAAGUUUGGUGAUUAUAUAAACUAGAUUAACAUCUGUUUAGUAUUUAAAAGCAUUUAACUAAUUGUCUUGCUGCUGUUUUACUUACUAUAGUGCAUUUAAAUACUUUACACAAGUGUGGUUUCUUCACCAAUAUUUAAUAUGGAUUAUCUGGCUUACUCCGAACAUUUUUGUUUUAAUAUUUGAAAACUUUUAUUGUUGCCUGAUUUUGAAUUUGAAUUUGAAUCGGUUUCGAACUAACUCGAGAUUAGCCACCGUGAUCAAAGUGACAUGGCAUCAUUAGCAGAGAAUUACUGUAGCUUAAUUAUCCGGGCGUCACACAAUGCCUUCCCCUAGGCCCAAAUAAUGGUGAAGUGUCAUGUAGUCGACGUACACAUAACAUCACUAGAGGAGAGAUAGCAUACAUCUCAUUAAAACAUCAAACGUAUACCAAAUUCACAUGAUUACUUAUAACAAGACUUCUCCCAUGUCCUCAGGAAAAAUCGUAACUACUCACAAAAGAUAAUCAUAAUCAUAAUCAGAGAAGUAUUAAUUAUCAUUAAGGAUCUGAGAAUAUAAUCUUCCACCUGAUAAACCAACUAGCAUCAACUACAAAGAAUAAUCAACACUACUAGCAACCCACAGGUACCAAUCUGAGGUUUUGGGACCAAGAUCGAAUACAAGAGAUGAACUAGGGUUUGAGAGGAAAUGGUGCUGGUGAAGAUAUUGAUGGAGAUUGACCCCUUCUCGAUGAGAGGAUCUACGGUGAUGACGAUGGCGACGAUUUCCCCCUCCUAGAGGGAUGUUUCCCUGGCAGGACAGCUCCGCCUGAGCCCUAGAUUGGUUCUGCCCGGGUUCCGCCUCGAGACGGCGGCGCUUCAUCCCGAAAGCCUCCUUCUAUUUUUUCCAGGUCAAAACAUGGCAUAUAGCCAAAGAUGGGCACCGAAGGCCUGCCAUGGGGCCCACAAAGUCGGGGGGCGCGCCCUCCACCCUUGUGGCUGGCUGGUGGCCCCCCUCUAGUACUUUCUUCGUCCAAUAUUUUUAUAUAUUUCAAAAAUAAGUUCCGUGAAGUUUCAGGACUUUUGCAGUAAUGCAGAAUAGGUCUUUAAUAUUUGCUCAUUUUCGAGUCCAGAAUUCCAGCUGCCGGUAUUCUCCCUCUUCAUAUAAACCUUAUAAAAUAAAAAAGAAAAGACAUAAAUAUUAUGAUAUAAUGUGUAAUAACAGUACAUAAUGCAAUAAAUAUCAAUAUUAAAGCAUGAUGCAAAAUGAACGUAUCAAUGUUUAACGUGUAUCACAAAAAUGUUUCACGUAUACACUAUAAAUGUACAUUAUCUAUUGAAAAAAUAGUAAUGAAGGCGAAAAAACCUAGAAAAUCAAAUAAAAUGAUGAAAAACGACAAAAAAUAAAAAGGAAAAAAGGGCUAAACCGAUGAUGAAACAAAGAAAUGAAAGAAGGAAAUCAAAGAAAAACAACAAAUGACGCAUCGGGAGAACACUGCAGGUGAGACGUAAAAUGGGUCGGCCCAGAAAUGACACAUUGCCACCUCUUUUAGCGCUGUGUUGGUUUUCCCCGAAGAGGAAGGGAUGAUGCAGCAAAGUAGCAUAAGUAUUUUUCUCAGCUUUUGAGAACCAAUGUAUCAAUCCAGUAGGAGGCUACGCGUGAGUCCCUCGUACCUGCAUAAAACAAAUAAAUCAUCGCAACCAGCGCAAAUAGGGGUUGUCAAUCCAUAUAGGGCCACUUACGAGAGUGAGAUCUGAUAGAUAUGAUAAGAUAAUAUUUUUGGUAUUUUUAUGAUAAAGAUGCAAAGUAAAAUAAAGGCAAAGUAAAUAACUAAGUAGUAGGAGAUUAAUAUGAUAAAGAUAGACCCGGGGCCAUAUGUUUCACUAGUGGCUUCUCUCGAGAGCAUAAGUAUUCUACGAUGGGUGAACAAAUUACUAUUGAGCAAUUGACAGAAUUGAGCAUAGUUAUGAUAAUAUCUAGGUAUGAUCAUGUAUAUAGGCAUCACAUCCGAGACAAGUAGACCGACUCCUGCCUGCAUCUACUACUAUUACUCCACUCAUCGACCGCUAUCCAGCAUGCAUCUAGAAUAUUAAGUUAAAAACAGAGUAACAUCUUAAGCAAGAUGACAUGAUGUAGAGGGAUAGACUCAUGCAAUAUGAAGAAAACCCCAUCUUGUUAUCCUCGAUGGCAACAAUACAAUACAUGCCUUGCUGCCCUUACUAUCACCGGGAAAGGACACCGCAAGAUUGAAACCAAAGCUAAGCACUUCUCCCAUUGCAAGAAAGAUCAAUCUAGUAGGCCAAAUCAAACUGAUAAUUCGAAGAGGCUUGCAAAGAUAACCAAUCAUACAUAAAAGAAUUCAGAGAAGAUUCAAAUAUUAUUCAUAGAUAGACUUGAUCAUAAACCCACAAUUCAUCGGUCUCAAUAAACACACCGCAAAAAGAAGAUUACAGCGAAUAGAUCUCCACAAAAGAGGGGGAGAACAUUGUAUUGAGAUCCAAAAAGAAAGAAAAAGCCAUCUAGCUACUAACUAUGGACCCAUAGGUCUGAAGUAAACUACUCAUACUUCAUCGGAGAGGCUAUGAUGUUGAUGUAGAAGCCCUCCGUGAUCGAUGCCCCCUCCGGUGGAGCUCCGGAACAGGCCCCAAGAUGGGAUCUCGUGGAUACAGAAAGUUACGGCGGUGGAAUUAGGGUUUUGGCUCAUGUUCUGAUCAUUUGGGGGUACGUGGAUAUAUAUAGGAGGAAGAAGUACGUCGGUGGAGCAACAGGGGCCCCACGAGGGCGGAGGGCGCGCCUGGGGGUAGGCGCGCCCCCUACCUCGUGGGUUCCUGUUAUGUGGCUUGACGUAGGGUCCAAGUCUCCUGAGUUGUAUUCGGUGAGAAAAUCACGUUCCCGAAGGUUUCAUUCCGUUUGGACUCUGUUUAAUAUUCCUUUUCUUCGAAACCCUAAAACAGGCAAAAACAGCAAUUCUGGGUUGGGCCUCCGGUUAAUAGGUUAGUCCUAAAAAUAAUAUAAAAGUAAAUAAUAAAGUCCAAUAAUGUCUAAAACAGUAGAUAAUAUAGCAUGGAACAAUAAAAAAUUAUAGAUACGUUGGAGACGUAUCACACAUCGGGAAACACUUCAGGCGAGACGAGACGUAAUACGCGUCUCAAAACGCACAACCCUGGUUCCCUCCAACGUGCUCUUUGAGCUCACGCCUGUUUUUUCCCUUUCUUUUUGUAAUUUUUUUGUCUUUUUUGUUUUUUGUUUUUCAAAAAAGGUUGUGAUUUUAGAAAGCAUUUGAAUUUACAAAAUCUUCCUGGAUUUCAAUAACUAUUUCUAUAUUUCGAAAAAAUAUUCUAAAAUCCAAAAAAUCAUGAAUUUACAAAAAAUGGUUUGAAUUUGAAAAAAUAUUCACAAAUUUGGAAUAUGUUUCUAGAGAUCAAAAAAUAUUUAUGAAUUGGAAAAUAGUUCUCAUAUUUCAAGAAAAUUCAUGAAUUUUAAAAUAUGUUUAUGUAUUUUCAAAAAUCAUGAAUUUGAAAUUGUUUCUGUACUUCAGAAAAUGUGCAAUAAUAUGAUAAAAUGUUUCAAGAUUUCAAAAAUUAUUCUUGUAUGCAAAAAAAUCUUCUUAGAUUUCAAAAUAUAUAUAUAUAUAAUCAUUAAUUUGAAAUUUUUCCAAAUAUAGAAAAUAUUCAUUAAUUAAUAAAAUGUUCCAAAUAUGAAAAAUAUGAGAAGGUUAAAAUUUAAAUAAAAUCUCAUGUUUUAGAAACAUGUUCACGAAAAUAUAAUAAUGAUAAAUGCAAAAGGUAAAAAUGGUAAAAGGUAAUAAAAAUAAAAGGGAAAAACACAGAACAAAAAAUCUGUUACGGGAUGGUCCUAGAACCUUAACCGAAACCGGUCGGGGGAGGAACUUGGAAUGGGCUGCCGCAUAUAGCAGGUCCUCUCCUUGGGGGGUUUGCGUUUGGUCGAAAUUCCCUGCCCUACGCGGGGAAUAGGACCCGCCACUUGCUUGCAAAUAAGAUUGAGGAAAUUUGGCCUCAAUUUCCUUUACCAGUAAUAUCCCGCAACAAAUUGAAAUUUUCCGUCGUAUGACGAAGUGCUUGUUCAUAGCAAAAAGGAAACUAUGUGUUGGGUUGAAGACUUGGACUGGGUUUGAUAGAGUGAGCGCUAAAUGGAGUGUGUGAAAAUAAAACGGCAAAAUGGGAUAGGCUCCGCGUGUGGUUUGCUGAGAAUUGUCAAGCCGGUAAAUGGGCUUGGCAACCCAUUCUCCUGGACAUGAUGUCAAUUGUCAUGUAGCCAAUUCCAGAUGGAGGUCUAUUACAAGCCGAGCCAGAAAAGGGGCAUCAUUUACUUUGCACGGUGUCAUAGCCGGGUUGCAAACUUUCCAAAGAGGGUAUAUCUGGAGAAUUGGUGAUGGUAACAACGUUAAGAUAUGGGCUGAUCCCUGGGUACCUGUUAAUCUGAAUAGAAUGAUAGUAUCUCCAAGGGGCUAGACAAUUAUUACCCAAGUCAAUGAAUGCAUAGAUCCAUUUACCAAUCAGUGGGACGAGGAGCUUAUCAGAUCCACCUUUUGGCCAAUUGGUGUUAGAAGGAUCCUUCAAAUUAUAUUGAAUUACUUGGCAUUUCAUGAUUUCAUCUCAUGGCACUGUUCUAGGACUAGGAUUUUUUUCUCAAAAAAACUGCUUAUCACCUUGAAGGGCAACAUAAAUAUGGUACUAGUUUACUCGGGGAACUCCUUUACUCGGACUAGGACCAUUUGUGACAAAUCUAGUUUCGAGAGCUCUUUGGCAGUUGUAAAUUCCACCCACAGUGCAUAUCUUCUGUUGCGAAGUCUCCAGGGUAUUGUUCCCUUAAAAUCUAUUUUAGCGAAUCCCCAUUAGAUUGAUAGGACAAUGUCUAAUCUGUAAGCAUGGAGGAGAGGAUGUGAAACACCUUUUGUUAGCAUGCAAUAUGGUUGUGCAACUAAGGACUAGACUGGGAAUCUAUGAUCGAAUUGUUGCUGUGGUUAGGGCAGAUCGCUCAGGGUCCGAGACCUCGGAACAUCUAAUCUGUGGUGCGGGAGGAGUUAUGCCAGGCACUCAGAUAACCGGGAUCACAGAAACAAUUGCAGUCGGUUGUUGGUACUUAUGGUGGCUAAGACCCCAAGUAACGCAUGAAGGAAAAGUCUUUCCGUAUGGCGAGGUGCAGUUUCUAUUCUAGCAGUUACAGGAAAUGCUGCAAAUAUAAAAGAUUCUUAAGCAAAUGUUGUUGAUGGUCGCUGGGCAAAACCAGAGCCUAGGUCAGUAAAGCUAAAUGUUGAUGCGUCCUAGUUUGCAGAUGAAGCGGCUGGGGCAAGGGCGGAUGUUCUCAGAGACUGUAACGACAAUUUUUUGAUGAGAAGAAAAUAUAGUCAAUGCCCUACUGAGAGCGGCAAAAUGGCUCCUGAGCUCAACUGCUCCCGCUCGUGCACAGUAAAAUCAAAAUAAAUACUAGAAAAUUUUAAAAAUCUGAUUUUUUUUCUAUGAAAGAUAUUUGAGUGUGCGAGGUCCGUGCCAAUUUUUAGCGUGUUUGGACAUCUGGGUAGUUCUCAGAAAACAACAAUUUGAGAUAUGUGAAAAAGUUUACUAUUUAUGCAUUGUUCGGACCGAUUUUGUUUUUGUUUGUUGAGAGCUACUCAGGUGUCCGAAGGCGGUGAGAAUUGGCACGACCUCACGCACUCAAACAUCUCCCAUGCAAAAAAUGAUUUUUUUUUAUUUUUCCAGUAUUUUUUUGAAUUUACUGUUCGAUGAGUGUGGAUGAGGCCUGGCUCAGAAUUGGAUAUUCGGUGCCCUACUUCACAUCAUUUGCUACGGCAUGAAAAAAAUGGAUGCCUUAAUUUUAUAUCGUCUGUUAUAUAUGGAAGGAAAGAAAUCUGGUGCCCUAAAACUGUUUCCGAAUGCCCUAUUUUAGGUAAUCUGUUGGAGAUGCUCUUACAUCCCUCGGUUUGAUCCUGAUUAAGGUUGGGGCCGGGUUGGACGGUGGGUUUUCCUUUACCUUUACUGCGUCGAACUUGCCUUCGUUAGUUUCAAAUUAUAAAAUUUUGCUUUAGAGCUUUUUUAGGGUACCCUGUAGUGAAUAAAGACCGUCCAUCCGCAAAAUCAAACGGCCAUGACCGACCUGUACUGCUGCAAUCAGGCCAACAACAUGGCAAGCAGUAUUAGUAGCACCGGUCGUUUUCGACCAACCAGUAUACAUGUUCUCAGGGCAUUCUGGGACUUCUACGAUUCACCUCGCACCGACCCACCCCGCCCGUUGUUUUCAUCUAUGGACUCUGGUAGAGUUCCGGUGGCCACCACUGUGCCUCCUCUUUCUUCUCCAGCCCGCCUUCCCUCGCUCAAGAAGCCCGAGUCUCGUUCCUUCCCCGUGCAUGGAUCCGGCGCUCGACUGCGUGGCGUAGGCCUCGGCCCAGACCGUGCUCUUCUUCUCCAAUAGGUCCGAUAGGACGACCAUGAGGCGUUGGCUUGCGCUCCUCCCAUGGCUGGCUGAGCGCUCGUUUUAUCUUGGUUCACAACGGCAGCGAGGAAACCACUUGGCGCCGUUGUCCGUCAAUGCGGAGGCUUGCCAUGUGCAGAAGUUCGUCGUCCCGUCCAUGACGACCAGGCAGGAUGAAGGAGGGCGUUGAGGUAGCCGUGGUCGCCAAGUGUUGGUUCCAUGUAUGUAUGUAUGUGAGGAGAGCAUGGCGGCGAUGGGAGCAAGCAGGCGAUGCCGAUUACAAGCUAUUACUACGAAAUAGGCUGGCAUCUUGGCCCAUCAACAAUCCCGUUUCAACGGUGAGAUUUAAUUAUACUGGUCCGCUCACGCCAAGCAGUAUAGGGUACCAUAAAAGAGCUCUUGCUUUAAUGGAAAAUGGGGCCUCAAACUGCUCACCGGAACAUUUCGAUCGGGUUAGACGCACAUCAGCACAUGCAUGGUACUAGCGGUACCGUUCCUCAACAAGACACGCGUUGGUACGUGCCGCCGUGUGUUCCUCGCCCAGAACCAGAUCCAAGGGAGCACAUGCACCAACGGUAUUGACUGUUGAGCAUUGCACCUUUGCAAGUACAGCGUCGAGUUGCCCCGGCCCCCCCGCACCGGCCGUGCCGUGCCGUGCGUGCCACGGUGACGCCUCCGCGGAGGCGGAGCCAUGCAUGGGAGGCCAAGGUGACCUCUCCAGCCAGCCAGCCAGCUUUGAAUGUUGGGCUGAUCAAACGUAUCGGAAGUGGCACAACAGUGUCUAUAUGGGAGGAUAAAUGGAUCCCAAAUACAUUGACAAAGGCACCUGUUGCACGUCUUGGCGAUGUACAAAUCAGCUGGGUAGCAAACAUUAUUGAUGAUGAGAAUUGGACUUGGAAGUCUGAAGUUAUAAGACAAUCCUUUAUCCCUCCAGAUGCGGAUGCAAUCCUUAAUAUCCCUUUGAGGACUGGAGGGGGAGAUGAUUUCUAUGCCUGGGCGUCUGAGAGGUCCGGGAUUUAUACUGUAAAAUCAGCGUAUCGCUCUCUAAUGAUUCAGAACGAGCAUAAAGCUCUAGAAGAAGGGACGACUACAGAUACUUCGGAGAUGGAUAAACAGUUGUGGUCUCGGUUAUGGAAACUCAAAGUGCUGCCCAAAGUUCGCGUCUUCUGGUGGCGCGUGAUGCGAGGGAUUCUUCCCGUCGAAAGUACACUGAAAUAUCGGCAUAUAUCCAGCGAGAGCAGGUGCAAAAUCUAUUUGAGUUCAGAGGAGGAUAUGAUGCAUGCAUUACUGAACUGUAUCCAUGCGAGAAGGUUUUGAAACGAAGCCCCGCAGUGGCUGCAUGUUAAGCGACCAGACCUGCACCCUCUUACUUGGGUUAAGGAUGUCUUGUGUGAGUCUCUGUUUUCAGAUUCUGAUAGAGCAAAACUUGUGUCUAUCAUGUGGGCUAUUUGGACUUCACGCAACAACAUCACACAUGACAAAGGAGAGUUUGAUCCUGUUCGGUCCAUGAAGCACAUACAGGAAGCUUUAGCGAUUUUAGAGUUACCUCAAGAUCAUGCUCGGAUCUUGCCUGGUCAUGGUUGGAGGCCGUCGGAUGAUGCGUGGAUAAAAAUCAACGUCGACGGUAGCAUUGCCAUGGAGUCCCGCCGAGGAGGGGUUGGAGGGGUAGCACGUUCUCCGUCUGCUUUCAAGGCUGCAUGGUGUAAGCCAUACUAUGGAAUCACAGACCCUCUUCUGGCUGAAGCGUUGGCUCUUCGAGAUGGCGUAAUUUUCGCAAAGCUUCGAGGUUAUGAUCAAGUCAUCUUGGAGACGGAUAGCCAAGAGGUUGUUAACCUCUGGCACUCGCGCCAUGAUUUUUCAAUGGUGGCGCCGAUUCUUGACGAGAUUGGGGAGCAUGCCAGCUCUUUUAAAUUUUUUCUUAUUCAACAUGUGGUGAGAUCAGCAAAUUUUCCUGCUCACCUUUGUGCGAAGCAACCUAACAUGAUGGAUGUAACAGAUUGUUGGUUAGACUCUAUGCCUAGUUUAUUUGUAACUAGCCUCCUGGCAGAUGUUGCCGGGGUGGUUUCUGUUGAAUAAAACUUUCUAAUUUGCCCUGCAAAAAAAAAAAAAAAGCCAGCCAGCCAGCCACCAUAGCGGCGCAUUGAAUUUGGCGUGCGUGGAGCGGGGCCAGAGAUCAAUCCAAUCUACGGGCUGAGGAGCUGGCUGUGGUGCAGUGUGUGGGCGCUGCAUGCGUACGGCGGCGUGCACGAUGGACGGGCAUGGAUCCCCACCCAGCGACGCCGUUCGUAUGCGCGUGCAUGUGGAAUGUCCUGCGUGCCGGAUCGGUUAUUGGGCGUUGAUGAUUGCCCUAUCUGCUCCGGUUUUAUGGCCAGCUGAGCUUCUCCUUUUCCAAGCUUCCGGUGUGCGCGUUCACAGUCUGUCUGCUAACCUAACCGGUACCCGGCCGGCCGGUGCGGUGGCGAUGCUUCCCGACGAUGAUGGGUGAUCCUAACUUGCUAGGCAGGGCUGGAAAUGUCGGCGAGUUAUUAAUUAGCGGCUCAUGUACUGAACUAGUACAACGUACGUGCUCCAGUAACUCGUCAGUUCAGCCGGUCGAUCGGGUACUCUUAUUAUGGGGGAAAAGACUGCAUGCACUAUACGUCGGCAUUGCUCAAAAGUCAAAACCAACUCACCAUGAACGGAAGAUGCACUCACACAAUGUAGGAGCUUCGGUUCACCCAAUCAGAAAGUAACUGAUGUGCAGCUAGCUAUAGCUAGCUACCUCGUCCUUGAGCUAAACACGUACCAUACGUACGUACGUACGUCGAGCUAAGCUAGCUACCUCGUGUUCCCGGCUUUCGAUCAGCUACGCAUAGCAAUACAUACAUGUACUAAUCCACAUCACAUGGCGCUAGCUGGACAGUGCGUGUGCAAACGACCAGUGUGUAUCCACGCCGAUUCUCAACAUCUUUUGUGGUACUGUACGUAUGAUUGUAUUUGGAUACGUCUCCAGAGUCCGUCCAGACCCCAGACUGUGUUGUAUAAAUCCCUCGUGCCCGUGCCUGCCGGUCCUUGUUUACACUCGGAGCGUCGUCGCCGACGCGGUGAAGCUGCAUUGCUUAACCACAUUGCCCGCCGCCUCCAAGUUAAAUGCCGGACCCAACAGCGCGCGAGUGGCAAAAAGGCCCAAUCGGUGAUUAAUCUCCACCGCUGCCCAACUCACCAGCCCUAUAAAUAACACACAAGCAUGACAGUACGCACAUCCCCUCUGUGUGUGCGUGUGUUGUCGCGAUCACAAUCAAUCUCACUCACUCACUCACUCACUCCAUCCAGCAGCGGCUCGCUCACUGUGUCACCGAGAAGAUACUCGGUAGCGCAAUGGCGGGGCGAGCGUGCUGGCGGUCGCUGGCCGUGGUGCUGGCGGUGGUGGGCGCGGCGGCGGCGACGGCCGGGGCGGCGCCGCAGGUGCCCUGCUACUUCGUCUUCGGGGACUCGCUGGUGGACAACGGCAACAACAACGGCAUCGUCUCCCUGGCGCGCGCCAACUACCCGCCCUACGGCGUCGACUUCGCCGGCGGCCCCACCGGACGCUUCUCCAACGGGCUCACCACCGUCGACGUCAUCUGUAAGCAUAAAACUUUCUUCUGCCGUAUUCGUACUUUGCAUGCUUUUACCAAAAUGCACGUACGGCAGCUUGCUUCCACUAUACGUGGCACGUACACAUUGUGAAACUACAUUUCAAUCUUGCUCUGUUUUUGCGCUGGGUGCAGCCAAGCUUCUGGGCUUCGACGACUUCAUCCCCCCCUUCGCCGGCGCGACCAGCGACCAGCUCCUCACCGGCGUCAACUUCGCCUCCGCCGCCGCCGGCAUCCGGGAAGAGACCGGGCAGCAGCUGGUACGUCACGUAGUCUACUACCACCUUCAUGCUACUACGCGCUCUGUUACUACGUAGCAAUCUCGAAUGUCAUGCCGAUUCCUCAAGAGAUGCUUCUGGCUGCAGGGUGGGCGCAUCAGCUUCAGCGGGCAGGUGCAGAACUACCAGAGCGCGGUGGAGCAGCUGGUGAGCAUCCUGGGGGACGAGGACGCGGCGGCGAACCGCCUGAGCCAGUGCAUCUUCACCGUCGGCAUGGGCAGCAACGACUACCUCAACAACUACUUCAUGCCGGCCUUCUACAACACCGGCAGCCGCUACACGCCGGCGCAGUACGCCGACGACCUGGCGGCGCGCUACACGCAGCUCCUGCGCGCGCUCUACAGCUACGGGGCGCGCAAGGUGGCGCUCAUCGGCGUGGGGCAGGUCGGGUGCAGCCCCAACGAGCUGGCCACGCAGAGCGCCAACGGCGUGGCCUGCGUCGACCGGAUCAACGUUGCCGUCCGGAUGUUCAACCAGCGGCUCGUCGGCAUGGUCGACCAGUUCAACCGCCUCCUCCCCGGCGCGCACUUCACCUACAUCAACAUCGACGGCAUCUUCUCCGACAUCCUCCGGGCGCCGGGCGGCCAUGGCCUGAAGGUGACCAACCGGGGCUGCUGCGGCGUGGGGCGGAACAACGGGCAGGUCACCUGCCUGCCGUUCCAGACGCCGUGCCCCAACCGCAACGAGUACCUCUUCUGGGACGCCUUCCACCCCACCGAGGCCGCCAACGUGCUCGUCGGCCAGCGGGCCUACGCCGCCCGGCUCGCCUCCGACGUGCACCCCGUCGACCUCCGCACCCUUGCAAGCCUCUAGCCCGCCCGCUCGUCGGAGGGAGGGGCGACGGCCGCCGCCGUUGGUGUCGGUGAAAAAUAUGCAUAAUUCUGAUUCUACGGUGUACCAGCACAUACAAGAUGAUACGUUUGCGUCUGAAUUUUGCACCAACUGUACCCUCUUACUCAGUUCACAGUGCUUCAGAUGGGCAACCAACCAUGUACUACAAUUGUGCAGCAUUUAAUAUAAUACUGUAUAAACAACUGUCUUUGGCUGAGAAGAAUAGCUUGCAGUUCACAGAAUUCAUUAAUUUGCUGGAAGAAUUUAGUCUGCAAAAACAUAUGAAUAGGAAUGCAACAAGCUUGGGGCUUCGUAUUACCACCACUGCCAAAGUCACAUGAGGAAAAUAACAGAUUUUCCCUUCCAAUGCUAGAAAAUUCUACCUAUGGCAGCACUGAAACUACCAUCUGACCAAGAUGAAAAGGCAGGGCUCUCGACGAUUGAUCGCUCGAAAACAAACAAACAACAAUGGUUUCAACAUGAAAAGUUGGAAAAUAAUAGAACUUCUCUUCCAAUGCUGGAAAACUCCAUCUAUCCCAGCUGAAACUACCAUCUAACCAAGAUGAAAGGGCAGAGAUGCUGCCGAUUGCUUGAGGACAAAUACAAUCUAACCUAAAUGGAGGAGCCAGGAGCAUAUUACAACAACAACAACAGUAGGGAAGGGCUAGCGAUAUUACGGGAGAAACUGAUGCAAGAUGCCAGCUCCGUCCCAUAAGAUCAUUUAUCUGGUUUCAGGUUGGGCUUGGUACGAAGUAUCUUCAUGAUUAGCUAGUCUGAUGACGACGAAAAGACUCAUUAACCCUGGGAACGGUUAAACUCUGCAGCUUCAG
This 66351-nucleotide long non-coding RNA is filed under the name Triticum aestivum (bread wheat). Its description in RNAcentral is "long non-coding RNA (TAES_LNC025379)". The record is from RNAcentral. Lineage: Eukaryota; Viridiplantae; Streptophyta; Magnoliopsida; Poales; Poaceae.